Molecule: long non-coding RNA, 47002 nt
Filed under: Setaria italica (foxtail millet)
Lineage: Eukaryota; Viridiplantae; Streptophyta; Magnoliopsida; Poales; Poaceae
Description: long non-coding RNA (SITA_LNC004285)
Source: RNAcentral
UUCAAUCCAAGAUGUGUAACAACUUCUAAAAGUUGCUGCCGAGUCAGCGAUGAGGACAUUUGUACCUGAAUAAAUUUCUCUAGUAUGUCACCAACAUGGUGAAGCACUGGUUGCCCUUUUGAAACAAUGCUGUUAAGCACAUCAUCCACACAAGCAACAUUGUACAGUUCACCUCUAAUAGGAAGGCAUUUUCUUUGGAUGAGCAAGUCCAUCAGCUUUGAGGUACCCUCAUCGCUUCUAAUUGCAUUGACAGAUGUCAAGCUGAAAUGCUUCUGAUCAAGAUUCCAAUCUCUUAAAGCUUCCUGUAUGACAUUAAAUUGUCCAUUAUCAGAAUCCAGUACGCAGGCCUCCUUAAAAUGUAUCAUCCUUUCUAAACUAGUAGCCUAGUAGGUGAGGACAAAAACACACCAAAUUUGAUGAUUUUCCUUUAAAGUUUCCAUUCAGAAUCGAUAAAAUGCACUGCCAGACAGAGAUACUUCACUGAGGCCUCAGCUCCAUGAGGAGCCCACACACUUUGCGGUAGCAUACGGGCAUACCCGCGAGCACAUGGCACGGCCGAAAAGCGAAAAUGCUUGCACGUGGCCCACGUUUUCUCCCACGAUUUCUCAUCCUUUUGUUUUGUCCUACUCGCUCCUGUAUCCAUCCAUCAUGUCCACCUAUAAGACCAAGGGCAAGCCUCCAGCCGUCGCUCCAGUUCCCUCCUGUCUCCCGGUCCAACUCAACUCUUGCCUUUUCCCUGCUUCCAUCGUCUCCUGCUCCUCAACUGCUGCAGGAUACAGCGUGAGGUACGUCAAAGUGUCCGCAGUUUGCAGUUUGUUUUCUUCUUGUGAAAACCUUUGGAUUUUUCAGUGGCUAUAAUGUCUUGCGAAAUUCCCCAAUUCUCUUCCGAGCAUCUCUUGGAUGUAGUGAUAAGCGUCAUGUUCUUUGCUGCUGCUCUAAUUAACAGGGAGCCGCGCAGCGCCGACGCCAAUGAGCACUCGGGGCAGCAGCAGGGCGAUGUACACCGGCCUGAUCAUCCUGUUGCUCGCUGUCGGCGCAGGCAUCAACUUCGGCAACUGCGACGGAUUAUCCGGCCCACUCCUCAGCUUCGUGGGGGUUGUCGCCGGCGCCAACAUGAUCGCCGCCGGCGUCAGGACGGCCGACGACCCAGCAGCACCCAUCGACCCCGCGCCCGCAGCGUUCGCCGGUGCACGUGCGUUCAUGCGGCGCAACCUCGCCGUCGUGGGGCUCGUCAUGGUUUCCUCUGCUUCCACAGCGGUUGCGGGGGAGACAGGCCCGGCGUUCUCCUUCAUGAUGUUUGUCCUGCUGGUGUUCGGGGUCUCUCUGAUCAACAUCGGAGUUCAUGGCACCUAGUCUGGUGUGUCAGCUUCGGUCCGUUGGUGCUCGCAUCGUUCUUCGUACGUUGACGUUCCCCUCAACUAUCUGUCAGUAAUCGCCGCCUCUGUCCACGGAUGGUUUUCAAGUAACAGCAAUAAAGGAAAUGGAAUUGGAAUUGGAAUUGGAAUUGCAUUUUUUUUCCAACCGAGGGAGUACUAUUUCUGAAUAAUCAACCAGUAUGUUUUUCCUUAAUUACUACGUGCUUUUUUGUACUUGAAUUACGUUGGUGUCGACCUGCUAUGUUUGUGAGCUCAAGUACCUUUUCACGGGAACAUGUGAUAUUCCAUCUCCAUGAUUUCACACCUGCUAUCCAAGUUGAGUAGCAGAAGAUCAACCUGCCCCUAUUUUUCAGCCGCCUUAUUCAAUUGCUUAUCCCGGCGCCACUUUUUGGUUGCUUUCCGAUCAUGGCCACUGCAGUACUACUAAGACCAUCCACCAGCUAAAAUUUAGCUGGUAAAUUUGGAUCCAAACAGGAAGAUGGAGCUGACGUGGGUGUAUGUCGGGAGAAGGGGGCAGGUGGCGUGCAUAUUGCGACGGACCACGACAGAGGCGGCGCGUUCGUAACGGGGUGGGGGUGUGUGGAUUGGGCCGGCGACGGCGACAGCGGACCGAAUGGACCACCUCGCCUUUUUUCCUCCCUUGUGCUUCAUCUAAGCCAUCGAUCCAUUGUUUGCCAAUUGUUCAGCACAUAUUUUUGAGAGUGUGGAUCCAACAAUCACUUAAAUAUUGGCCCAAACUGCCAAGAUGUUGGCCAAAUGUAUGCGCCAGCCAUUGGAAUGGACCACAGAGAGUCAAAUCUGCAAACUUUUUCAUGCGUGGAAGUUUGGGAUCCAAAUCCGUCUCCCUCAGAUUGGCAGACCAUCCUCAGGACAAAAUAUUUGAAUGCCAGACCGUCUCCCUCGUAUUGACGGACCGUCCGCAGUAUAAAACUCAGUCGACUCAAGUUUUGUGCAGAGAUUCUGGUAGGAGGCCCGGUGGCACAUCCCCAACCCGGUAUUAAUGUGCACCACAUUAGUACCGGUUGUUGAUCUUACCCAGUACUAAAGGUCCAAUGGCACAUUAGUAUAAUCAACCAGUACUAAUGUGCAUCAUUUAGUACCGGUUGGUGCCCCCAACCUGGUACUAAAGGGGCUUACGGGGCCACCCAGGGGAAGUAGCCGUUAGGCUCGGUAAUAGCAUUAGUACCGGAUCCAAUUACAACUGGUAAUAAGGUGCUGGACGAAAGGUCAUUUCUCUAAUAGUGAAAGAUGAAGAGGUUAUAUAAUAUUUCACAUAGUAUAAAACGGAAUAUAUUACGAGUAAAUGGUACCACACUACAACGAUUUGAAGGUGAGCCCAACGAGAAACCUCCAUCCUUAUCUCACCGCACCUUCCUCAUAACUAGCUGCAACUCAUGUUACUCAUCUCAGUUUAUUCCAAGUUGUAUGCAAAAAAUUGACAAGGGACCAGUCAGCUCCGUCCACUCCCAACCAAAUUAAACGUGAGAAACAACACCAAUUAAAGUAUAAGGAUCAUCCUAUCUUAGGAAAGAUGAUGUAGCCCGGCUCCAGCCCCAGGCUCUCCGGGAUCGCCGCGUACAGCCUGAGCCCGAGCUCCCGGACCUCCUUGCCGUAGAUGCUCAUCGUCUCCCUGAAUGACAAAGGGACCGUGCCGGUGUCAGGAUUCAGAAAUACUAAUCCACAAUCAGCGGCGGGUUGGACGACGGCCAGUCGGGCACGAACUGGUCGAUGGGAUGGCAGUGAAGCCGGAGGUAGUCGCGCAAGUUGUGCACCGUCUCCUUGCGCACGUUGAAGCUCGUGGACAGGCGAAUCUUCCUGGCAGGGUCGUCGGAGUAGAGCUUGGCUUUCUCCUCCGCGGGCAGCUGGAAGAACUCCCGCGAUCAGGCCGGCGUCUAUCCCGUGGUUCAGGACCAGCAUAUACAAGAAAUCGUGGGUCACUGUCAACGAAAUAAAGCUUUGCCGGCGGCAAGCCAAUUUCUACGGCCCCGGGCGUGCGUGUCACCUGGAAGAAGCCGUGCGUGCGGCAGCAGGCGCCGCCGAUGGCGGCGACGACCGCAGCGCGGUCGGGGCACGCCAGAUCGACGACGGGAACGCACGCGCCGGAGACGACCUCGGCGAGGUGCGGGCGCUGCGACUCCGGCCGGACGUAGUUCCCGCGGCAUGGUGCGGUGCACCGCCAUGGAGAGGAGGUGCUCCUCCGCCAUGUGUGUUCAACGCGAGCCGACGACGGAGCUCUUGCGUGCGUGCGCGAAGCGGGGAGGAGCCGGGCAGCUGGCCUUCGACAUGGGACUCUCAGGGAGGCGGGUCAGCACGCGCUCUUAUAGCGGCCGGUCGAAGCGCGCGGGCGAGCAGCGUGUGGUGUGGUGACCGCGGCGUGGCAAGGCGCGGGCCAAGCCGCUGAUGCUGACCCCCGCGGUCGUUGGGUCGCGUCAUCACCGCGGCGGCUAGUGACAUCAAGCCGUUGGGUCGCGUCGUCACCGCGGCGGCCAGUGACAUCAAGUCGUGCGUCAUCACCGCAGCAAGUCGUUGGGCCGCGUCAUCACCGCGGCGGCCAGUGACAUCACGUCGCGGCGUUGUAUGCUUGGGCAAUGAAGACGGACGAAACGAAGACGACAACAAUGAAUUUUUUUUUGCAUAAUGUCUUGAGUAUAUGAUUAAAUUCAGAAGUUAAGAAUAGGAAAAAAAAACUCUCCAAAACUGUAUCACACGAUGACACAAGCAGGCAGCACGCAAUACAUGGAGAUGUUAGAAGCAAACCAUGAAUGAUUACAAAAGAUGGCAUCAAGCUGCACAGAUAUUUUAGAUUUUGGCACAAAAGACCAUGGCUUCGCAUGUUCAGUCUAGCUAUAUGACUAUACUAAAACUCUUCGUGGAAGGCAACACAUUCUUUUUUUUAUUUAUUAUCUUAUAUUAAGAUGACAAUCUAUAUUGUGCUUUUCAAUCGAAAACAUCAAGUAACAUUGUACCAUUGCUCUAAAAAAUAUUGCAACAACAUGUUGUAUGCUUUAAAUAAUAUUGAUUGAGCACUUUGUUAUUUGAUCUUGGAAAACUUAUAUACCCUUUUUUUUUAGCUAUCAGUGCCUCAAGUCUUUUUCUAUCUUUUUUUAUCUUUUUAACUUUCGAUUCUAAACUUGUUAAUUAGGCUAGCUUUUAUUUUGUUUUAGACCACCUCGAUAUCAUAUCAUUUUGUCCUCCACCUCAUGUUGCUAUGCAUUUUCAUGUUAUUUUUCUUUUCUUUUUUUCAUCAAAGCCUUUUGCACCUCCGUCUGGGCUCAAAUUCAGAUGGUUGCAGAUCACAUGAGCACCUUCCUAGAGGAAUUGAUACUCCAAUCUCUUAAGACAAAUCUCAGUUUGUCUUCUCCUAAGGAUGGAGUAGUACUUAUGUGCCUUAUGAAAGCAGUUUCAAGCUACCUAAAAUAAGUAGACAUUUGUAAGCUGGUCAGGUUCGACGAGGAGUACACCGAGCACAUCCUGCGGAUGGGCCCUCCCAUGCCCUUCCGCCGCAUGCGCGCCGAGCUCAUGGACAAGAAUAAUUUUAGGAAAAUUGCAAACAGAUACUCAAAGCAUGACGCUUUCAUCAAACUAUGCACGUGAUUGCAUUUUAUCCAAUGCUCCCAGACAGUAUUAUCUUACAUCAUCUCUCAGAAGAGAGAGUAUUGCAUUACAUGGCCAGAGGAAAGGACACCUGGACUAUAGUAGCGCAGCUUCAUUAUUUGAGCGCACACGGCAUGAGAAUGAUUCAACAUCAGCAAGCACAUAGCCACACAGUAGCAGUAGUUACCUGCAACAACCCAAUUGGGAAACUAGGAACAGAGCUUGAACCAAAUCAUCAAUCGAGCAUCAAUGCAUCUGGGAGAGGCCAAGAAUCCCAACGCUGAUCAGGGAGAGGCCGAGGAGGAGCAGAGCAAACAUGCCGAAGCAGAGCACCUGGCCUGCUUCGCCGGAGACCGCCGGGCAACAUCGCAUCAGCAGGUUGACGUUGCAGAGGUGGCGGCCGGGCAAUUUCGCGCGUCAACCUGCUGAUGCGUCAACCUGCUGAUGCGUCAACGUCGCGCGGUCAGGCGGAGGUCUCUCAAAUCUAUCUCUAGUCAGUCUCUAUAUAUGCAGAGACAUACCAGCUACUAACUAGCCUACCAGCCUCAGCUCAGCUUCCAGCAAGGCACUUCAAACCACCUGCUGCCAUAUUCGGCAACGCUUCCCUCCCCGGUGCGGCAGUGCUCGACGGCCCUCUCCGACUGCGGUGCCACGCGGCCGACGAUGACCACUCCGGGCACCACGGCGAUGUUCGCCGGCCUCGCCAUCUUGCUGUUCUCCGUCAGCGCCGGAUUCAAUUCCGGCGCCGGCGCGUUCGGCUUGCUACUCUGCUUCGCGGGGGUUCUCGCUGGUGCCAACAUCGUCGCCGUCGGCAUCCGGAUGUCCGGCGCCUACCUGGCGCCCGUCGUCCCGGCGGUGUUGGCCGAGGCGCGUGCUCUCGCAGAGUUCCUUCGUCGCAACCUCGCCGUCGUGGGGCUCGUGAUGGCUUCCUGCGCCGUCACGGCGGUCUCCGGCGAAGCAGGCCAGGAGCUCGGCUUCGGCAUGUUUGCUCUGCUCCUCCUCGGCCUCUCCCUGAUCAGCGUUGGGAUUCUUGGCCUCUCCCAGAUGCAUUGAUCCUCGAUUGAUGAUUUGGUUCCUGCUGUCAAAGUAUUCUUGCUGUCAUUCUCAUGCCGUGUGCGCUCAAAUAAUGAAGCUGCGCUACUAUAGUCUAAGUGUCCUCCUUUCCUCUGGCCAUGUAAUGAAAUUUUAAUUCCCAAUCACUGCUUUGGCUAUCAGUGUGCUGCCCAGUCUUGGAAUAGCAAUUUGCAGAACGUGUUCUUCUCAAAAUCGUUGCUGGAUCUGGUGUUGUCUCAUCAGAGCGUGCUCUCGAUCGAAACGGAUCAGAGCGUGUUCUCGAGUACCUGGCGUUGAACGGUUUGAACGUGUUCUUCUCAAGAUCAGUUGUCCCAUCAGAGCGUGCUCAGCCGCUUUAGCAAUCAAUUGCUUUUAUCCAUUCCAGUCUUUCCUGAAGCUCCCUUUGCGACGGGAGAUCUUCUCGACGACUUGACGCGUACUUAUGCGGAUUGGACUCGAGUGCGUUCAGGCCGGCGGAUGCUCAAGUCCGUCCCUGUCGCGUCUGCCCGACCGCCAGCCAGGCAGCAAGCCCACGACGCAACAGCGGGCCCCGCGGAGGUGGCACACUGGCACGAUCCCAAGCCCGACCGACUCGAGCGUGACAAUUUCCGACAAAAAAACGACAAGAUCGAUGAUUAAGAAAAAGGAUCGAGUUGAGCCGCACGCACGAUGAUUAAACGGAUCAGUUCAGAAACGGCACACGCGAGGACCGGCCGGCCGACCAGCGGCGCACGAGCGCGCGAUUCCGUAAGGCUCGGCCCACGCGCUGUCCUUGACGCCAGUGAGCUAGUGGCGGUGGCGGGAAGUUCCCUUAUGUAGCGGGAAAAAAAAAUACAAAUUGCUGAUCUGAUGCUACUAAUUUGUGUUGUGUGGUAACAGUUCGGUCUUCCUUUGUGAUGGUACCUUUUUAUGCUGUUUGUGGUACAGAUGUGCUCAUCUUGGUAUAGGUUUCUUCUUCCAUUAUAAGUUUGCUUCUGUGAUGUUUGCUGGUCAUUAGGAGCUGAGUGGCCUCUUGAUCAAUUUUCUGCGCACAGGUUGCAUAAAACUUAGAAUAAACCGAAAUUUCUUCUCGCCCUCGGUGGUGGCAACGCCGCUGCCAAGUGCCAAUCGCGCUGCCGUCGCCGGCGACCUCCUCCUAGGCUCCUUGGACUUGGCGCGCUCCUCCAGCACCAAAUUGGAAACCGUCGCCGCCAAAUCGUUGUAUACUAUUAUAUAACCUCUUCAUUUUGUUGAGGAACUUUAUAUCAUGACAAUUGACAUGUACGUUGCGUUCAUGUGUGUUGCUAACAAGUCAUGUACGUUUUGUUGAGGAUCAGUUCAGCUGAUGAACAUAUAUCCUCACAAUAUGAAGCGCAUGCGUCCUCUGAAACUCUGAAUAAAAUCUGACUGAACAAGUCAUGUACUCCUACGUUGCAAGUGCUGCUGCUGGGCGUACUGUUCAAUCUGAAUCUGAUUUGUGACACGCUAACGCUGUCGGCCAAUCACCUUCAGGUCAUCAUCUGAUAGAGAUAGACACUUAAGUGUGAACGUUCUUCAAUUCAGGUAGUCCACAUUCAGAGUCGCAACUGGCAAUUUUUUUUUUCAAUAAUCACAAUUCGCAACUUUGGAACCGAGCAAGUGCCAAAUAAUCGGGGCAUGGUGUACCCAAACUGGCUAUAUGCUUUGUCAUCAUUUCAAUUCUAUAGACACGUUCGUUCUCAAUUCUCUCUCCGUAACGUGUCACUAAUCCAUUAACCUAAUUCUCAAUUUCUCAAUUGCCUGCCGUGAUGCCAUCCAAAAGUCACCAUCCGGCCGAAUGGGAUUCCCGAGUCCGGGGGCGUCCACCUGACUGACCCUCUCAACGCAGCUUCACAAUUAACAGCAGAAGCUGGCAUUGCCAGGACAUCACGUGCCAUAAUUGACAGGGUUGGAUACUUUGUAGAAUUACUCAUCCACCAGUUCAGAAUAUCGAAAUCAUCCUUUCUCGGGACAAGACCAUCUUCAAGGUAGCUGUCAAUUUCUGUCAUUAGUUGGCUCCUUGUCUGUGCAUUAAGAUGCUCAUCCCAAUCUUCCAAUGAAUCACUAUCAAAACCAUCAAACUCAACAAUACGAGCUUCACGAGUUGAUGUGUCAAGCCCCGACUUCUCUAAAGGACCACAAUAUUCAUGGAACAGCUCCCUUAUUGCAUCACGCACGGCAGAUACAUACUUCUCUGCAUCAGUACCAAAAGCUCGCUUUAGAUGGAACUCAAUAAAAGUAAUUUUGAAUCUCGGAUCAAGAACAACAGGUAUUGACAGCCACACGUAUGAACUUUGCCAAUACUCAUUGAACGCUUCUUGCAUCACCCAAACCAUGUUAGCAAGUUCAGUGUGAUCAGAGGAUGCUUCUUCUUGCAAAGUUGUUCUAACUUUCCAUAGUUCAUUGAAGUAUAUAUUUGCUGUGGAGCAAACACGACCAGAAAUUACUUCAACAGCACGAUAAAAAGCCCUCAGUAUCCUGCAAACAGAUUCCACAGUUUUAGUAUCUUCUGCAGAUAACAAUUCUUCUGAGGGGAAUGCCUUCUUGAAAUGCAGAAAAACUUCAAGCCUGAAGUAAAAUUUAUGCCACCAUUUCGCAUCCUCCUGUGGGCACUUCAAUCCAAUAUGUGUAACAGCUUCUAAAUAUCUCUUACCAUGGAGAAAUAGGCCAUGGAGAAUAUGUGUAACAACUUCUAAAAGCUGAAUAUUUCAGCGUCUUGGUCAAAUUUCCUGCUUAUAUCUGCAGCAGUCUGAGCUGAUGUGGUAUUUUGUUCUGUGGAAUUCGUCUCAUCCAUUGCCGGCAAAGCUAGAAAGAAUGUGACGUUCCACUGGGCUUCUAUUACCAGAACGCCCUUGAGGAACUGGCCUUCUAGCAUACUCUGCCGGGUUGCUGCUGGAUAUAUCAGGCGCGGAGAAGGAUCUGGGAAGUUUCCUUUUGUCAUAGUUUCAAUAUAUAUUGAUCCUAUUGUUUUCCGGCCAUAUCCAACCGCCCCACGUCAUGUCCCAGCCGAACAACGUCAUGUGCCCACCUAUAAGACCUUGGCCCAAGCCUCCAGCGUCGCUCCAGUUCCCUCCUGUCCUCCGGUCCAACUCUUGCCUUUCCCUGCUUCCCUCGUCUCCUGCUCCUCAACUGCUGCAGGAUACACCGUGAGGUACCUCAAAGGGUCCGCGGUUUGUUUUCUUCUUGUGAUUGUGGAAACCUUUGGAUUUUUCAGUGGCUAUAAUGUCUUGUGAAAUUCCCCAAUUCUCUUGCGAGCAUGGAUGCAGUGACGCCAAUGAGCACUCGGGGCAGCAGCAGGGCGAUGUACACCGGCCUGAUCAUCCUGUUGCUCGCUGUCGGCGCAGGCAUCAACUUCGGCGACUGCGACGGAUUAUCUGGCCUACUCAGCUUCGUGGGGGUUGUCGCCGGCGCCAACAUGAUCGCAGCCGUCGUCAGGACGGCCGACGACCCAGCAGCACCCAUCGGCCCCGCGCCCGCAGUGUUCGCCGGUGCACGUGCGUUCAUGCGGCGCAACCUCGCCGUCGUGGGGCUCGUCAUGGUUUCCUCUGCUUCCACAGCGGUUGUGGGGGAGACAGGCCCGGCGUUCUCCUUCAUGAUGUUUGUCCUGCUGGUGUUCGGGGUCUCUAUGAUCAACAUCGGAGUUCAUGGCGCCUAGUCUGGUGUGUCAGCUCCGGUCCGUUGGUGCUCGCAUCGUUCUUCAUACGUUGACGUUCCCCUCAACUAUCUGUCAGUAAUCGCCGCCUAUGUCCACGGAUGGUUUUCGAGUAACAGCAAUAAAGGAAAUGGAAUUGGAAUUGGAAUUGCAAUUUUUUUUAACCGAGGGAGUACUAUUUCUCAAUAAUCAACCAGUAUGUUUUUCCUUAAUUACUACGUGCUUCUUUGUACUUGAAUUACGUUGGUGUCGACCUGCUAUGUUUGUGAGCUCAAGUACCUUUUCACGGGAACAUGUGAUAUUCCACCUCCAUGAUUCCACACCUGCUAUCCUAGUUGAGUAGCAGAAGAACAUCCUGCCCCUCAGAAACUCGAAGCGAAGAGAAAAUCAUCGAAGGAGGGGAUGCGCGGGCCAGCUCCGGCACUGCAAGUCUUUCGGGGAGCGUUGGAGGAAACAGGAGAGUGGAGGAGUGGCCGGGUGGAUGGGAUCGUUGGGUUAGAGCACCUCUAAGAGCCCUCUUAAAAUAACCUGAAUCAGAUUUAAGGAGGAAAAAAAGGAAAAAAUUAACCUCCAAUUCUCGUAACUGUUGAAACCGGAAAAUAAUACCUAUAUAUUCGAAAAAAUUCCAACGGCUCCCUCGAAACUUCCCCAGCUCUUCGCGGUGCCAAAACAGAACCCGUAGCUGCAUAUAUUUGCGCGAUUUUCCUCCUCCCCGAUCUUUCUUCCCGCGCGAGAGUCUUCCGACGGCGGGGUGAGGGGCGGCCGCGUGUGUGUGUGUGGGGGGGGGGGUGGCGCUUCAUUAUCUCUGAACAGAUAGCUUUUCACUGCAUGUCAGGUAAACUGAAUACAUGAGCCAACAAUUGUGCGUGCAUUUGCGUGUGCUGCAACUGCAAGCCUGCAGCUGAGCACUUCUAUUGGUGUGGCUGAAAACAACGCUGUGCCCGGGGGGAGGGGCGGCGCUGGAGAUCAGGGAGGUGCGUGCGUGAGGGGCAGGUGACCAGCCCAACUAAUAGGUCCAAUUAUGAUGAUGUGGUCUGUUUUGAAAUAUUAGGUGUUAGUUAUUAGCGAUCUGCUGUGGGUUGAUAUGUUUUUUGGGCAAAAUUUUUUUGGAAGAGCCCCUAAUACAUAGUUAUCGGAGAAAAAAAUUUAGGGUACUUUUGAAGUUGCUAUUAGUAGUUAGUCGAGACACGUGUGAUGGCUGGAGUGGGAUAGCAAGGCACAAAUUACCCGCGUGCUCGUGGGCAAAAACCAUGUAGGGUAAGGAUACGUGUUUAAAUUUAUGCCUACGGGUAUGGUUGCGGGUUUGUAUUUAUGCCCAACGGGCAAAAUAUCGCGGGCGUAAAAAAAUUGUAACCGUACCCGCUCUAUCUGCAAACCCGCUAAAUCCUCUGACACGUAAACCCUGCAUGUAGGUAUAUAAAAGAAGGCAUGUGCCAUUUCAUGUUCCCAUCCUUCUUUCUCUUCCCAAGUCUCCAACCGCAGCACCAAGCGGCGGCGGCGGCCACUCAGGCACCGCAGGGCCCGCGCCCCGUGCCUCCCGCUCCUCCCAGGCGCUCAAACUGCUCAAGCGGACCCUACCUCGCCGGAGCCAGGACGCAGCGACGCCGGUUUCUCCCCAAGGCUCGUCCCCCAGAGCCAUCCCUCCGCUGCAGUCCAAUCCAAGCGCAACCACCUGAUGGAUCCCCCCCCUUUGUUGCUGCAUCUUUGCAUCCCCCUUUAUUUAUUCAAGGAUGGUCAUGUUCUUGGGUGCAUACCCGCGGGCACAUGGCACGGCCGAAAAGCCAAAAUGCUUGCCCGUGGUGGGUGGCUGUUCCACGCGUUUUCUCCUCCGGGUUCUCCUCCUUGCCAGUCCUACUCGCUCCAGUCUCCAUCAUGUCCACCUAUAAGACCAAGGGCAAGCCUCCAGCGUCGCUCCAGUUCCCUCCUGUCUUCCGGUCCAACUCAACUCUUGCCUUUCCCUGCUUCCCUCGUCUCCUGCUCCGUGAGGUACGUCAAAAGGUCAGAACCUUUGGAUUUUUCGAAAUUCCCCAAUUCUCUUGCGAGCAUGGAUGUAGUGAUAAGCGUCAUGUUCGUUGCUGCUGCUCUAUUUAACAGGGAGCCGCGCAGCGCCGACGCCAAUGCCAAUGAGCCUUACUCGGGGCAGCAGCAGGGCGAUGUACACCGGCCUGAUCAUCCUGUUGCUCGCUGUCGGCGCAGGCAUCAACUUCGGCGACUGCGACGGAUUAUCUGGCCCACUCCUCAGCUUCCUGGGGGUUGUCGCCGGCGCCAACGUGAUCGCCGCCGGCGUCAGGACGGCCGACGACCCAGCAGCACCCAUCGGCCCCGCGCCCGUAGCGUUCGCCGGUGCACGUGCGUUCAUGCGGCGCAACCUCGCCGUCGUGGGGCUCGUCAUGGUAUCCUCUGCUUCCACAGCGGUUGCGGGGGAGACAGGCCCGGCGUUCUCCUUCAUGAUGUUUGUCCUGCUGGUGUUCGGGGUCUCUCUGAUCAACAUCGGAGUUCAUGGCGCCUAGUCUGGUGUGUCAGCUCCGGUCCGUUGGUGCUCGCAUCGUUCUUCAUACGUUGACGUUCCCCUCAACUAUCUGUCAGUAAUCGCCGCCUCUGUCCACGGAUAGUUUUCGAGUAACAGCAAUAAAGGAAAUGGAAUUAGAAUUGGAAUUGCAUUUUUUUUAACCGAGGGAGUACUAUUUCUGAAUAAUCACCAGUAUGUUUUUCCUUAAUUACUACGUGCUUCUUUGUAAUUCAUGAAUUACGUUAGUGAGCUCAAGUACCUUUUCACGGGAACAUGUGAUAUUCCAUGUCCAUGAUUCCACACCUGCUAUCCAAGUUGAGUAGCAGAAGAUCAUCCUGCCCCUGCUUUUGACGCCAGGAGUCGAGACACAAGACGUAUCCAUGUGGGUCCCGGCGCUGACCUGCGAGAUCCAACGCCACUUUUCGGUUGCAUCCCGAUCAUGGCCACUGCAGUACUAAGACCAUCCAAACAGGACAGCGAUGGAGCUGACGUGGAUGUCUGUCGGGAGAACGGGGUGGGUGGCGUGCAGAUUGCGACGGACCACGACAGAGGCGGCGCGUUCGUAACGGGGUGGGGGGUGUGCCGAUUGCGCCGGCGACGGCGAAAGCGGACCGAAUGGACCACCUGGCCUUUUUUUUUUUCUCCCUUGUGCUUCGUAUAAGCUAUCGAUCCAUUGUCCAAGAUUGUUCAGCGCAUAUUUUCGAGGAUGUGGAUCCAUCAAUCACUUAAAUAUUGGCCCAAACUACGAAGAUGUUGGCCAGAUGUAUGCGCCAGCUAUUGGAAUGGACCACCGAGAGUCAAAUCUGCAAACUUUUUUCAUGCCUGGAUUUUUGUAUGCGCCAACCAUUGUAUGCGUGGAUUUAGGAGGGUUUGAUACUAAUUAGGAGUAUUAAAUAUAGUUUAAUUAUAAAACUAAUUGUAUAAAUGGAGUCUAAUUCGCAAGAUGAAUCUAUUAAGCCUAAUUAGUCCAUGAUUUGACAAUGUGAUGCUACAGUAACCAUUUGCUAAUGAUGGAUUAAUUAGGCCUAAUAGAUUCACCUCGCGAAUUAGUACAGGAGUAACCAUUUGCUAAUGAUGGAUUAAUUAGGCUUAAUAGAUUCACCUCGCGAAUUAGUACAGGAGUUCUACAGUUAGUUUUAUAAUUAGCUCAUGUUUAGUCCUUCUAAUUAGCAUCCGAACAUCCGAUGUGAUCCUCCUAAAGUUUAGCACCUCGUAUCAAACACCCCCUUAGUUGGUGGAUCCAGACACAUCUAGCUAAAAUUUAGCUAGCCAAGGUAAACUUAAUAAAUUUUAACCAGCUAAAGUUUAGAUGGGUGGAUCCAAACCUGAUCUUGUUGGAAAAUUAGGCAAUUGUAUGAUUAAAUUCUGAACUAUAUUUCUGAUAAAAAGAAUUAAACCUAGCAUGCAGGACUCUAACAUACUAGGCAAUAGCAGGAACGACAUCAUGUUCUCAUAAAACAUGCUAAAAUAAUAGAUCAAAUCACAUCGUACGUACUCAGCGAGCGCAGCCGUGAUGGGAAGCGGUGCUGACGGAACGACGACGGUGUUGCGGAUGGAGCGCAGCAGACGACGCUGAAGACGACGAGCUGCCGCAGCGCCGGACUUGGUCGAAAGACGAGCCGUGGUGAAGACCUUGAGCAGUCGCGCUGAGCGCUUCUUAAAAACUUUAUUCGCCCUCUCCCGGUGUAGGAUCACAAGAGCGAGAGGUUUCGGAGACCUACUCUCCCGUUCGCCGGUGCACGCCGACACUCAGGAUGGAGUAGAUUACGGUGGCGGCGCAACAACGAGAAGAGGCAAAAACCUAACUCGUACAGACCACCUUGGGGAUACCCUAACUUGGGGUCUUCCCGUAUAGUAGUCUAUAUUGCGUCUAUUCCAUGAGGGAGGUGGUCCAUAUAUAUAGGGAGGAAAAGCCCCAACACCCUCGUUUAUUAGCAAUAUGGGACUAAUAGAUGGUGUACCCCCUCUUACGCUAAUAUGCCUUUGAGAUUUAUUCAGAAUUAUCGCCCAUAUAUCUAAUAGAUCUACGGGGGUGUUUGGGAGACCAGGGCUAAACUUUAGCCCCUAUCACAUCGGAUAUUUGAUACUAAUUAGGAGUAUUAAAUAUAAGUUAAUUAUAAAACUAAUUGUACAAUCCCUAGGCUAAAUCACGAGACGAAUCUAUUAAACCUAAUUAGUUCAUGAUUUGACAAUGUGGUGCUACAGUAACUAUUCACUAAUAAUGGAUUAAUUAGGCUUAAUAGAUUCGUCUCGCGAUUUAGCCUAGCGGUUCUGCUAUUAGUUUUGUAAUUAGCUCAUAUUUAGUCCUCCUAAUUAGGGCGAGUUUGGCAGGGCUCCUCGCGAGGGGCUCCUCGUGCGGAGCCGGAGCCGGAGCCGUGGAGCCACUUUUUUGAGCUCCUUCAUGCAGGCCUAAAACGGCUCCGGCUCCUCCCAAAUGUGCCAAAAAAUGGCUCCGCGGUCAAUGCCGUUUGGUGCGGCUCCGGCUCCUUCGUGCUUCGGUAAGCGCACGGAGCCGGAGUCGGAGCCCUGCCAAACUGGCCCUUAGUAUCCAAAGAUCCAAUGUGAUAGGGCUAAAGUUUAACCCCUCCUUCCCAAACAAAGCCUAAAUUGAUUGCCGCGGUCAGUGUGUACCUUGCUGAACUCCGCCUGCGCGAGCACCAAGUGAUGGCAGAUUUUACCCUAUCAGUAGAUCGGUCGUAGACUCAUGGAGUCGUAGUGACUGCGGCAGUGGCGAAACUGGAGCUAGCCACAAUUCAGCAUAACUUGCAUGAGCAAAUGAGGUACACGGUAACGUGCUGCUGCAGGACAGCAGGAGGAAGAACAGUGAACAUGGAAGAACAUCCAGCUGCUUGUUACUGCUGACGCCGGACCGGGGUCGCCGGCCAGCAGGCCUGGGCUUCGGCUGGCUUUGCCGAACGGACCGGAGCCCGAGCCCGUCACGUUGCGCCCAGCCGUCCACCCCGGGGCCGGUUUCGGACGUGGCUAGGGACUCGCCACAAGAUAGGAAAAACUCGAAGGCAGUGGUCCCGUGCCACGGAACGUACCGCCAGCCCCUUGCUCCGAUUCCCUGCCUCCCAGAGCCUGCAUCUGCCGUGAAUGGAUCGAAGCAGCUAAAGAGGAAAUGGAUUUUUCAUUUUCUUGGGUUCCUCGUGUCCCCAUCCACUGAAGUUCUCUGAAUAUUUGGAUCCUGCCUCUGAAUCUCUGAUGCUCUAAAAGUUUUCUUGGACGCCUCCAAAAAAGAAUUCGAUUAUGGUAAAUUUGAAAUCCGUUCCUGACUUCCUGUUGCACAAAAAGGAUCACAGGAACCAACGGUCCUUGCAAUUGCAGUUCUAGAAGUUCAUCGCUAAUAAGAGUCUCUGAUAUUGUAAACAUAUUAAAGAGCUCAUUUCCAACACAUACUUAUCCUGAAAAGUAAGACCCUUUCUCAGAAAACAAUUUUGUUGUGUCUCUGGCAUGCGGCUCUGCAUGUGUGAUUGCUGAUUUUACCUUCUGCAUAGCUGGAAUUAUCUAGAGUUGAAUUGGUGAAAAAUGAAACUGUCCCCAGUUUUUUCCCUUAAACAUGUUAGCACUGUCCUAAGUUUUAGAUUAAGGAAAAGAUCCGCCUCAACCAAGCACUGUCCUAAUUGGCUGCGCAAUAGUGCUAUAAGCCUACCAUUACGUAACUAGGGCAUUAUUCACGCUGUUUAGCAGGUAUUGAUGAAUUAUGCACUUUGGAACUUUGCAAAACUACUGUUUUGCCAGAACACUGAAUGCAUGUUCACCAUGUUCUUCCUUCCCUUCUGUUCUAGUCACUCAACCUUUUCUUUUGAUGUGAAAGAAAGUUAGUCCCUCACAUUUGGGGUGCAAAUUAUCCGUCUCCAUUUCAAUGAAAUGGCUUGCAGCUUUGUGGAAGUGAUCACAUAUAACACAGAGAAGCUUCGGAAGCUAGGGUGGACCUACAGGCCUAUGGAGGAAACCAUCCGGGAGAGCGUCGAAUGCUACCGAGGUUUGGGCAUCCUGAACUGAGCAUCCAUCCAGGCUGGGACACCUUUGCCAGCUUUGGCUACUAGCAAACUGUUUGUGUUGACAGGCAAACAUGCAAACUGUUUGUGUCGACUGCACGGUGCGAGGUAGUGCACAUGUUGAGAUUCAGAACGCCAUCGUUUCAGAGUCGUCUCUAGGCUUUUAGGCUGCAGAGCAUGCAGUAUUCUAUGAGGAUUACUUGUUGUGUGUUGUAAAUUUGUGAGUACAGAGUUGAACUGCCAAUUCAGAGUUUUCAAGAACAAAUCCAAUUGGCAGGUCAGUUUCCAGGCCAAAUGUGCACUUCCUGAUUGCUGACAUGGGCUUUAUGGCCAGACACAACAUAUUUGAUGAUACUUAUGUGCCCACAAACUUGCUAUCUGAAAAUAUUUCAGGUUAGCCUUCAGGCUUUUUUUGGGUGCUGAGUAGGAUUCAUUUUUUGGAGAUGGCUGAAAAGAACUUUUUCAUGAAAUUUGAGCUGUAAAAAAAGAGCUUUUUUACGGUACACAAUACUAUCUUAUACUACUGUUCGAAAAGGACUUACAGGAUCCGACGGUUGAGAUUAAUUGUAUACUACUGAAACCUUAAGCUGUAGUAUAGAUAGUAUGCAUGAGUAGUAUGGAUAGUAUAGUGGUAUGAUUGAAAAUAUGUAAAAUGACAUUGUUGGGAGAUUGACGGGCGCCACGGCCUGCGGGUGGUGGCGGCGGCCGAGCGCUGUCAGAUGGACGGGCUCUGUGUGCGGGCGGUGGCAGCAGCCGAGUGGGAAAAUGCCGUGUAGAAAAAAAAUCCCCGAAUAAUAUAUGUUGUGCUAAUUACAAUUUUACUCAUACUAAAAAUAAGUUAUACUUUAUACUACCACCAGGUAGUAUCGUGCACCGUAAAAAAGCUCGUAAAAAUAAUGUCGGUGGCUCUCUGAUGCUGCUGAAGGGAUUGGAGCAGUCAAGCAGGACUCAGUAGCUUGUACAGCAACACAUUUUCAAAUCUUUCUUUACUUUCAUCAUAGGGCCAAGGUUAAGCAUGGUGAGCGAGAGGUAACAGGGCAUCCGUAUUGAAUGGAAUAUUUUCAAGGAAUAAUGUAUUUGGAAGGUACCCCAGUACAUACGGCAGUACAUUACUGCCCAUGCCUAACUAUUUUAGCACCAUGUGCUAAGCAUGAUUUUGGCACGUACGUGACGUCUGCUUUAAUUUGAUGGCUGUACAUGCGCCUAAGCAGUUCGUUCAAAAAGAACAAUUACCAGAAACGAAGAGUGCUGAAGGCUAUUCUAAACCCAAAUACACAACGGCUGCAUCGCUCUUCAGUCUGGACGCAAGACGGCAGGAGUCAGCCGGGCAUUGAGACGGCCGGAGAGCAACGGACUGAGCAGAGGGAGAAAAAGCAUGGCGGCGCCGGCGAGGAGCACGGUGUGCGUGACCGGCGCGGGAGGGUUCGUGGCGUCGUGGCUCGUCAAGCUCCUCCUCUCCACCGGCCACUACGCCGUCCGCGGCACCGUGCGCGAUCCCAGUACGUAACGUAACCACACCCUCGCCGCCGGCCUUGCUCCCUGCCGGGAAGCUUCUGAUGGCAAAACAGGGCCCUGGAUUCUGCAAGCAGUUGACAAGGCACUGGAUACACUAAUUCCAGCAUGAAACAUUCGGUGUGUAGGUGGUGGCGAGAAUGCUCAUCUCAUGGCGCUGGAAGGUGCCGGGGAGAGGCUUCGGUUGGUCAAGGCUGACGUACUGGAGUACGGCAGCGUGGCGUCGGCAAUCGCCGGCUGUGAUGGUGUCUUCCAUGUAGCCAGCCCUGUGCCGUCCGGCCCAUGUCCCAACCCUGAGGUGAAACAACUUAGGGCUUGUUUGGCACCGCUUUAGCCGGCUUCGGUUUCAGCACUGUAGUGCAUCUAGCACGUGCCAAAGUCGGAGUCGGAGCUGGGGAAGUUAUUUUUUUUGCUUCACCGGCUUCCUCUCUUCCCCAUUCAUUUUGUGCCUCGGUUUGCGUUUUGACUUUAUACUACAGUGCAACACAGUAGUACUAUGUUUUCUUUUUUUUUCUUAUUAGUUUCUGUACAUUGUUUCUCUUUUUUCCUGAUAAGUGUACAACAUCGUAAGGACUUUUUUUAGGCAGGGGGUGUAGAGCUAGCUUCGUAGAAACCUUUUCGGAUUCAAAUUUUUUGGAAAAAUAUGAUUUGAAAAUAAACUCCUACAAAACAAUUUAAGCUGAUUUUUUUUCGACAUCAUCAAUUGGCACGCUAAGAGUAUGUAAUUUCUGCACGAUUGUUUUGUUUUGAUAAACUAGGUGAAAGCUUUAGAAUCGCUUGAAAUGGUCAUUUAAUCGUGUUUGAUUUGUUUGGUUCAUUUACUAGCCGCACAUAAGUUUUCUGUGUAUAUGUUGUUCUUUUGAUGAUAUUUCCAUGUGUCUGCUCCUCCUUCCAAUGCAAAAUAUAUGAAAUAGGAUAUCAGUGUUACUAAUCAAACCAGGCUUUCUAGCUCUUUGUGGGUGAUACCAGUCUUAUUCUCCCUCUAUUUAUUUUUUACAAAACAUAUUUUAUUUCUUUAGGACAAAUCUUUUGCCAACAAUUACUCUGCUAAUAUGUAAUUUAUGUGAUAUAAACUUAUAACAUAAGUAAGUAUUUUAAUACAAAUCUAAUAACAUCAACUUGUGAUACAAAAUUAUGUAUUAAUAGAGUAAAUGUUGGUAAAAGUCUUUGUUCUAGCGAAACUAAAAUACGUCUUAUAAAGGUAGAUAGAGGAGCACCAGUUUUUGUCUUCUUCAAGUACACUAAGUACAUACUUAGUACUUCCUCUAUCUACCAAUAUAACGCAUAUUUUGAGUUUUUGACUAGGGAAAAGUCAAAUUUAACCAACAAUUUAUCAAAUUAUUUACAUUUUAGUGUAUAAAAACUAAAACAACAGAUUUGCACUCAAAGUAGUUUUAAGAUGGUGUUGAUUUUGUAGCAAGUGACCAUAUAUUAUACCAGAAAUUAGGAGCCACAAUCAAAAUACAUCUUAUAUAUUGAUGGACCGGGGUAGUACUUGUCAAUUUGUUAGAAAUAACUAGUAGUUAUGGUGUUCUAUUACCUCCUGAGACUACCUUUUACAAUCCGCGUUGCAGGCAGAUGUCUUAGCUGCUACUGUAACUGGCACACUGAAUGUGUUGAAAGCUUGCUACGAGGCAAAAGUUAAGCGAGUUGUGGUGGUAUUUUCAUUUGUUGCCGUGGGUUUCAAUCCCUGGCCCAAGGGCAUCGCCUUCAACGAAGAUAGCUGGUCAGAUGAGGAGUACUGCAGAAAGCAUCAGGUAUAUCAUAGUAGGUCAUGCAAGCAACGUAGCGCAGGAGUUGUUAUGAACGGCGUAUGGAAUAUGAAGUAAAGAAUCAAACCACAAAAGGAGACACACGAUUUACGUGGAAAACCCCUUCAAUGUGAAGGGGAAAAACCACGGGCACCAGCCGGCAACAAUCUCACUAUCUCAAGGGUUUAGGGUUACACGCCUAUGGCGGCUUACAAGAGAAUCUGAUAAUCUCUUUCUCUUCUGUCGUCCUAUCUCUAAAACCCUAGCAAGGGUGUAUGUAUAUAUAGAACCGAAACCCUAGACAGGGGUAUUGAGCUGUACGGACUCUUGGUCCCGUGCAAGGAUGGAACUCCUCCUCGUCCGACCUUGAGUCCUUCGUCCUGGAGUCGGAUGCGCCUGGGACUCCGCCUCGCCCGACCUCAAGCCUGGGGUCGGAUGCGCCUGACCCCUUGAGGGUCGAUCUCCGACUCGCCCGACCCCGAGUCCUGGGGUCGGGAGACGCUCCGACUCGCCCGACCCCAAAGUCCAGGGGUCGGGAGACGCUCCGCCUCGCUCGGCCCCGAGUCCCGGGGUCGGGAGAUUCUCCGCCUCGCCCGACCCUGAGUGUUAAGGGUCGGGAAGGUCGGCCUUUAUCCUGGAGUGAAUUUGGAACAACUCCAACAAACUCCACCUUGAGACAAAUUCAUCUUGUAUCAUCAACCCUUCAUCCUGAACAGAAUAAAGACAGGAAAAAAACCACUGGUGCCAACAAUAGUCUCUUGGACUAUCCAAUUAAACCAACUAAGCCUGAGCACAGCUCAAACUUAGUAAUAGGAACAGGCUUUGUCAUCAUAUCCGCAGGAUUAUCAUGAGUACUGAUCUUGCAUACCUUCAGCUUACCUUCUUCAAUCACAUCACGCACAAAAUGAUACUUGAUAUCAAUGUGCUUAGUUCUUUCAUGGAACAUUUGAUCUUUAGUGAGGUAAAUUGCACUUUGACUGUCACAGUGCAAACUUAUGCAAGAUUCAACUCCACAAAGCUCAGCGUACAAACCUUUCAGCCAAAUCAAUUCUUUGCACGCUUCACAAAUCGCCAUAUAUUCUGCUUCAGUAGUAGACAGAGCAACAACCGACUGUAAAGUAGCCUUCCAACUCACAGCACAACUGCCAACAGUAAACACAUAGCCUGUGAGUGCUCUUCGCCUGUCCAGAUCAGCAGCAUAAUCUGAGUCCACAUAGCCAACAAGACCCUCAUCAGUUCUUCCAAACUUUAAACAGGAAUUUGCUGUGCCUUUGAGGUAUCUGAAAAUCCACUGAACUGCCCUCCAAUGUUCUUUGCCGGGAUUAGACAUAUAUCUACUAACAAGACUCAUAGCAUAUGACAAAUCUGGGCGAGAGCAAACCAUGGCAUACAUCAAGGACCCAACAGCACUAGAAUAAGGAAUCUUUGACAUGUAUUUGACCUCUGCAUCUGUACUAGGACACUGAGCAGCAGACAACUUGAAGUGAGGUGCAAUAGGAGUACUUACAGCCUUAGCAUCUUGCAUGUUGAAACGCUGAAGAACUUUCUUGAUAUAAUUUUGUUGACUAAGAAAUAACAAACCAGAAUUUCGGUCUCUACUAAUUUCCAUACCAAGAAUUUUCUUAGCACUACCAAGAUCUUUCAUAUCAAAACCGCUACUCAAUAGCUUCUUUAACUUAUUUAUUUCAGUCUUACUCUUGGCAGCAAUCAGCAUAUCAUCAACAUAUAUCAGCAAGUAUAUAGGUGAUCCAUUAACAUGCUUGAUAUAAACACAGCUAUCAUACUUAGAUCUUUUAAAACUGUGUGAUAACAUAAAUGAAUCAAACCUCUUGUUCCACUGUCGAGGGGACUGUUUCAAACCAUACAAGGAUCUCUUCAACUUGCACACAUAUUUCUCCUUGCUAGGCACUAUGAAACCUUCUGGUUGGUCCAUGUAUAUGUCCUCCUCGAGUUCUCCAUGCAAAAACGCAGUCUUCACAUCUAACUGCUCAAGCUCAAGAUCAUGUGAAGCAACAACACUAAGGAAAGUGCGAAUUGAACUGUGUUUUACCACUGGAGAGAACACAUCAUUGUAGUCAACACCCGGAAUUUGGCUGUAGCCUUUAGCAACUAACCUUGCCUUAUACUUUGGAGGCUCACUUGGAGAUAAACCCUCCUUUCUUUUGAAGAUCCAUUUGCAGCGGAUGGCCUUCUUAUUCUUAGGCAAAGGUACAAGUUCCUAUGUACUGUUCUUCUCAAGAGAUUGCAUAUCCUCAUGCAUAGCCGAAAUCCAAUUUUCAGUAUCGCCACAAUGAAUAGCUUCUUUAUAGGUUGCUGGCUCAUGAACAUUCUCCACCUGUUCAGCACAACUCAAAGCAUGGUAAGACAAAUUACACUCUUCAAUGAGACGGUUAGGAGGGGCAACUGUCCUUUUGGACUUGCGGUGAGCAAUGGGUAGUUCCUCCUCUGGAGUUUGCUGGACAUCAUCAUGAGCAUCAGCCGACCCCGAGACUGAGGGGUCUGGCGCAUCAGCAACAUCCGACCCCGCCGUCAAGGGGUCUGGCGCAGCAACAUCCGACCCCGGAGCCAAGGGGUCUGGCGCUUGAGCAUCAGCCGACCCUGGAGCCAAGGGGUCUGGCGUAUCCGACCCCGAGACCAAGGGGUCGGGGUUAUCAGCAUCAUCACGAGCGUUCUCCACCUGCAUGCGCAUGCGCUGCAGUUCUUUGUCUGGAACUUGAUCUGAUGACAAGCUGUCAGUAAACAUCAUAGAUUCAUUGAAAAUAACACUUCUGCUCAUAAAGGUCUUUCCUGUUUCCGAGUUCCACAAUUUAUAGCCUUUGACACCCGAGCCAUAACCAAGGAAAAGACAUUUAACAGCUCUAGGCUCUAAUUUUCCAUUAUCAACAUGAGCAUAUGCAGUGCAUCCAAAAACUUUCAGCUGUGAGUAAUCAGCAUGCGUACCAGACCAUACCUCAAUGGGAGUUCUUUUAUUUAGUGGAAUAGAAGGCGACCUGUUGAUCAAGUAACAGGCAGUAUUAGCAGCUUCAGCCCAAAAACGCUUGCUCAUCCUGGCAUUAGACAGCAUGCAACGAGCCUUGGAUAUGAUGGAUCUGUUCAUGCGUUCAGCCACACCAUUCUGUUGUGGAGUAUGGGGUAUGGUGUGAUGCCUUACAAUGCCUUCUGAUCUGCAAUAAUCAUUAAAUUCACGCGAACAAAAUUCUCCACCAUUAUCAGUACGAAGCAAUUUCACCUUCCUUUCAGUUUGUCUUUCAAUCAUGACUUUCCAGUCCUUAAAAGCAGCAAAGGUAUCAUCUUUCUGUUUCAGAAAAUAAGGCCAAACCCUUCUAGAGUAGUCAUCAAUAAUUGUGAGCAUGUAACGAGCACCACCAAGCGAGGACUUACGGGAAGGACCCCAUAAAUCAGCAUGAAUAUAAUCAAGAGUACCUUUAGUGGUGUGAACAGAAGUGUUGAAACGUACCCUUUUAUGCUUCCCGAAAAUACAGUGCUCACAAAACUUCAUUUUACUCGAAGUGCAGCCAUCCAGUAGGUUUCUCCUUAUCAAUUCUGCCAUACCAUGGUGACUCAUAUGUCCCAGACGCAUAUGCCAAAGGUUAGUUUUACUAGGUUCCUCAUUAGUAACAGCAGCAACAGCGGAAUCAGAACCAGGUAAAGUACACCCUCUAAGGACAUAUAACUUUGCAGAAUUGAGAUCACCUUUCAAGCAGACAAGAUUACCUCUUGAUACCUUCAGAACACCAUCCGAACCAGAAUAUUUGUAACCUUUUGCAUCAAGCGUGCUCAAUGAAAUAAGAUUUCUGCACAUCCCUGGUAUGUACCUGUCGUUUUUCAGAGUGCGUGUCAUGCCAUCAUGAGUCUUGACCUGAACUGAUCCAAUCCCCACAAUAUCACACGGGCUAUUAUCUCCCAUCCGCACAACAUCCCCUUUUUGCACAGGCUUAUACGAGCUAAACCAAUUUCUGUUAAUGCAAAUAUGAAUGUGUCGUAGUUCAGCAGCGGUAGAUCAAACUUCAUCGACGUCGACAUGAAACCAAACAGCAACCAAGGCUCUGGUACCUCUUGUUAUGAACGGCGUAUGGAAUAUGAAGUAAAGAAUCAAACCACAAAAGGAGACACACAAUUUACGUGGAAAACCCCUUCAAUGUGAAGGGGAAAAACCACGGGCACCAGCCGGCAACAAUCUCACUAUCUCAAGGGUUUAGGGUUACACGCCUAUGGCGGCUUACAAGAGAAUCUGAUAAUCUCUUUCUCUUCUGUCGUCCUAUCUCUAAAACCCUAGCAAGGGUGUAUGUAUAUAUAGAACCGAAACCCUAGACAGGGGUAUUGAGCUGUACGGACUCUUGGUCCCGUGCAAGGAUGGAACUCCUCCUCGUCCGACCUUGAGUCCUUCGUCCUGGAGUCGGAUGCGCCUGGGACUCCGCCUCGCCCGACCUCAAGCCUGGGGUCGGAUGCGCCUGACCCCUUGAGGGUCGAUCUCCGACUCGCCCGACCCCGAGUCCUGGGGUCGGGAGACGCUCCGACUCGCCCGACCCCAAAGUCCAGGGGUCGGGAGACGCUCCGCCUCGCUCGACCCCGAGUCCCGGGGUCGGGAGAUUCUCCGCCUCGCCCGACCCUGAGUGUUAAGGGUCGGGAAGGUCGGCCUUUAUCCUGGAGUGAAUUUGGAACAACUCCAACAGGAGUAGCUGCUGAAAUCUUUUUGUGCUAAUGUUCAGAUGGCACUGAGCAUGUUUUGUCUCUUUAUCAGGUGCUAAUAGCAUGUCCUCUUCAUGCAUUCUACGUUUAUUUGUUUCACUUUGAUUUUUCUUUUCUGAAAUGUGAAUGCAUUAUCAACACUUGGUUAAUAGCUUUUGCAUGAUGUAAUAUCCUUCCAUCAAUGACUUGACUGCUUCUAUCCUGGAAGAAUAGGCAGAUACGAUUUUUGUCUGGAUCAUAUAAAAAUAAUGUUGUCCUUGUUUUUGUUCUUGUAGGAAUUUGGAUGGUAUUUCCUUUCUAAAACAUUGGCAGAGCGUGAGGCCUUUGCUUAUGUAGCAAAAACUGGACUGGAUGUUGUAACUGUUUGCCCAACAUUGGUCAUCGGACCAUUGAUGCAAUCUUCAAUUAGCACAAGCGUUAAAAUAUUUCUCAAUUAUAUCAAAGGUGGAUAUGGUUCAAUUGUUUCUAUUUAGUCAUUUAGUAGCGAGCCGAGAAAAGAGAAAAAUAGGAUGACAUAAAACUUAUUAUUUACAACAACUAGACGAAAGGACUCUAAUCACUUGACUGAUGCAGUCAUGCCUCACUCAGCCAAAAAACAAUUGGUUGUAAGUUGUAACAAAUGGUUCCUGCAUAAAGUAUUUCGCUAAAGUUACAGCGAUAGUUUGGGUUGAGAUUUUUCCUUUUCCUUUUCGAAAUGAUCAUAUAGCUUUUAUAUUUUAACUAAAAAGUGCAUAUAUUAAGCCAUUAAGGUAGUACCUCUCUGUUGCUUGUUUUGAAUAGAAAACAAUGAAGCAUAUCAAUCGAUCAUCCUAGUAUUUGAGUUUGGUGCUCUGUCUAUUGAAACAAACACUACCUUCUCUACUGCAACAGAUGAGGAGGAGUCCGUCGAACAUAAGUUUGAGCAUUUUGUGGAUGUUCGUGAUGUUGCUGAUGCUCUUCUGUUGGCUUAUGAAAACCCAAAGGCGUCUGGAAGGUACCUUUGUAGUUCAGCACCAAUAAGAGUCUCCGAUAUUGUAAACAUAUUAAAGAAUUCAUACCCAACGAACAACUAUCAAAAAAGUAUGUUCCUUUUCUCAGCAAGUGAUUUGGUCUGAUUUUAUCUCUGCAUAAAAAAAAGAAACACUAUAUGUUUUGCUAGAUUAUUCAAAUGCUUGCUUACAAUAUCCUUGUCAGUUGCAAUGCAAUGGCUUGCAGCUUUGUGGAAACAGAAAACAGCACCAGGUGUAACACGGAGAAGCUUGAGAAGCUAGGGUGGAGCUCCAGGCCUAUAGAGAAAACUCUCCAUGACAACAUCGAAAGCUGCCGAGCUCUUGGCAUCCUGAAUUAGCCUCCAACUUGGGGACCAUUUGGCCAUGGUGAGACUGAAUAAGCUAGAGAAGUAAUGAGUAGCUCAGGUAAGAGUAGUACCCUCCAGUUGAGGCCCACUCUGUCUGGGGUGCAGUUAUGCAUCACAGAAGAUGACAGAUAAACCGUUGUCAUCUUCUGCGGCUGGUCUGCAGCCUGAUUGGUAGGCCACGUGAUGAUUAUUAGGCUGUGCCGUUGAAAGAAUUGAGCGGGGUAAAAACUCACUAGAGUUGGUAAUGUCAUUCACGUGUAAGAGAGUCCGAAAACUAAAAAAGUCAUAACUCUUGAACCGGACCUUCAAAUCAAAUUUCGAUUGUACCAUUAAAUUUUUUAUAGCAAGAUGUUCAAAAUAAGACCCCACUUGAUUGUGUUUGGAGAAUAUUUUUAAAAAAUAUUUUUAAGAUACGGAUUAUUUAGUUAUGAAUACUGCGAACAAAUGCUUCAAUACCACGAACAAAUAACUAUUUUUGCGAACAAAAAAUUAAAUAUAUUUUUUGAGUUCGUAUAUUUUGUUCUAUGCGUAUGAUUUUUUUCCACGGGUUUGUAUAAUUUAUUCCACGUUAUAUGUCUCAUAGAAUAUGCUACCUUGAUUAAAAAAUAUGAAUAAAAACGUUCGUCCAAGUAUAGUCAAUUAGGAUCUUGUUGUAAAGCUUUUAUUGUCAAAAAUCCAAUAGUGCAAUCGGAAUUUAAUUUUGAUGAUCGGUGUAAGAUUUAUAGCUUACACGAUUGUGUUUCUUAUAAUAAAAUCUUCACAACAAGAUCCCACUUGACUAUAUUUUGAUGCAUUUUUUAUUCAUAUUUUUUUAAAUUAAGGUUGCAUAUUUUUUGCGAAAUACACGUGGAACAAAUUCUACGAAACUUAUGGAACAAAACAAUCAUACGUAUUGAACAAAUUAUACGAACUUGCAGAACAAAAACGAAUACCCACAUGCAUGAAAUUUUUGAAAUUAAAAAAAUCAAAAAUCAUAAACCAAACAUCCAAAUUUGAUUUCGAUUGCACCACUGUAUUUCUUUUGACAAAAUCUUGAAAACAAGAUCACAGUUGACUAUGUUUGGAUAAAAAAUUUUAUAACCAUUUUCUAAUAUAAAAUAUUAAUUUUGAUCAUAGUGAAUAAAUACUUGAAUAACUAGAAUAAAUAAUUAUCUAAUACGAACAAAUAAAAUAACACGAUGAGCAAAUGAUUAUAAAUAAUGAAUGAAAUACUGAACAUCAGAAAAAUAACAUGAUGCAAAUAAAAGAUAUGUACAAAUAAUAAUAUACUCAAACAAAAAAUUGAAAAUUUGAUAUUAUAAGAAAAAUAGUAGAAUAUGAGAGGAGUUGAUACUCCAAUCUCUUAAGACAAAUCUCAGUUUGUCUUCUCCUAAGGAUGGAGUAGUACUUAUGUGCCUUAUGAUUGCAAUUUCAAGCUAUCCUAAAAUAAGUAGACAUUUGUAUGAACUAGAAUAAACAUACAACUAGUGCGUAUUUCAAACAUACAACUAGUGCGUAUUUCAAACAGCUCAUCCUUUGGAUUUAUUCAAAUCAUCAGCCUAGCGAAAAAAAAGUCUAGGCUAUCAAAUAGACGAGUCUGCUUACAUUCUCGGACCAGUGGCUUUUGGAGAAGCUCUGAGUAAGAAACUAAGCAAUAACAACGACGACAGUAGAACAGAAUUUCCAGAGCCGCCUAUCCUAGGCUCAGAGAAAACCGACCAUCACCAUGGAGACGCCGGCGAACAUGACGACGGCCAGUCCGAAAGCCACCACCGGGUGACGGCGCCAACGGCGACGGCGUGGACGGCUGAGGAUGCGGCCACGAUCCCCAGCAUAGACGGUGCCCGUUCCCCAGCCCGUCGUCUUCACCGGACGCCUUCUUGGCUCAGCACCCGCGGACUUUUCAAUGCGAAUCUACACGAUCAGGAACACAAGUUAAAAAGGAUUCUCAAAAGACUUGGAGACAAUUUAAUUACCUGCAGCAGCAUGUCGCUGAUGCCGAUGAUCAGCGCGCCGGGGUGCGGGGCGCCGGGGUACUGCCCGUUGCUCAGCGCCUGCACGCAUGAUCCAACACAGAUUUUAAGCUUUGUUCUGCUGGAGUGAGUUCGUUCGCAGGCCUCAAGUCACUGAAAUGGAUGUUGAGGAGAUAAUUGAUCACCUGCAGCUGGUCGCCGAUGUUGAUGAUGAGCGCGCCGGACUGCGGGUUGACGGCGACCCACUUGCCGUCUUGGGGUUGUCCACGGCGUCCACCUGACUCUCUCAGCUUGCCGGUGAAGCCAGCAAUCAGACUUCACCGCCUUGGCACCUCUUGUGAGUCGUCUGGUGAACCAGUUGAAAGAUGAUGGAUAGUAGGAUAUCCAAGAGAGUUCAACUGUGCUGACAACACUACUAUCCGAAGUUCCGAACAGCAUGGAAUCAACAGUACUAUCCGCAGGCGUAUAAAUGUGAUGACAACAGUACUAUCCAAGAGAGUCAUGCCGGUGGAACGAGGAACCAAAAUCAGUAAAGAGUCAUGCCACCCGGUGGAAGCUGUUCAGUUCUCUCAUGCUACAUGACAAAAAGUGGUAGUACUGAUAGCCAAACCAUACUGAGUAACACAAAGUGGUAGUACUCUGAUAGGAUUGCAUUACAUGGCCAGAAGAGAGUAUUGCUCACAGACAGUACUGUCUUACAUCAUCUCUCAGAAGAGAGAGUACUGCAUUACAUGGCCAGAGGAAAGGACACUUGGACUAUAGUUGCGCAGCUUCAUUAUUUGAGCCCACACGGCAUGAGAAUGAUUCUACAUCAGCAAGCACACAGUAGCAGUAGUAGUAAGUGUACGAGAGACAGGGUGUGGUGAUUGUGAUUCUUCCAUUGGAGGUCGUUACUGCAUCAAUGCAUCUGGGAGAGGCCAAGAAUCCCAACGCUGAUCAGGGAGAGGCCGAGGAGGAGCAGAGCAAACAUGCCGAAGCAGAGCACCUGGCCUGCUUCGCCGGAGAUCGCCGUGACGGCGCAGGAAGCCAUCACGAGCCCCACGACGCCGAGGUUGCGACCAAGGAACUCUGCGAGAGCACGCGCCUCGGCCAACACUGCCGGGACGACGGGCGUCAGGGCGGCGUCGGAGAUCCGGAUGCCGACUACGAUGAUGUUGGCGCCGGCGAGAACCCCCGCGAAGCAGAGUAGCAAGCCGAAUCCGCCGGCGCCGGAGUUGAAUCCGGCGCUGACGGAGAACAGCAAGAUGGCGAGGCCGGCGAACAUCGCCGUGGUGCCCGGAGUGGUCAUCGUCGGCCGCGUGGCACCGCAGUCCCCUGCUUAAUUGGAGAGGGCCGUCGAGCGAGCAGGCGAGGCACCGCUGCACCGGGGAGGGAAGCGUUGCCGAAGAGGCGAAGAAUGCAGCGGGAGGAGGAGGAGAAGGAUCUGGGCGGUGCGCAGCGGACGGGGGAGCCGGAGGAGGCGAGGAGCGAGAUGGUUGGGGUCGGGGAGGCCCGGGAGGGCCAUUUAUACGCCUGCGCGGCCCCACCGUCCCCUCAUAUUAACGCAUAUCAUAUGUAGUUGUUGAAGGUACGAAGAGGUAGAGAAGGGUGCACUAUAAGAGAAGAGGUAGAGAAGGGUGCACUAUAAGAGAAGAGGUAGAGAAUACCCACCUAGGGAUCCACUCCCAUCCGGCGGCGCGCGCUGCCGUCGUGUCGUCGCCUGCAGCUCACUGGCGUCAAGGACAGCGCGUGGGCCCAGCCUCACGGAGUACAUCUGGAUGUUGACGCGCGAUGCUGCAGCGGCGGCCCGGCCCGACGGCUGGACAACAUCGCAUGUCAACCGCGCUGCGCACCGCAUGUCAACAUCGCAUGUCAACAUCGCAUUUCAAUUCAUUAAAGUAACAAAAACUUAUUUUCUACUCUCAAAACUUUUAGUCUAGCCAUCGCAUGUCAACAUCGCAUUUCAAUUCAUUAAAGUAACAAAAACUUAUUUUCUACCCUCAAAACUUUUAGUCUAGCCAAGCUAAACUUGCCAUACCAUAAUAUGAAGAUCCUCAAUAAAGAUGAAGAGAUUACGUAUUAUUUAACAUAUAUAGAAAAGAAUGUGAAUAUAUAAAAAAGAAUAUGUUAUGAGUAAAUUGCACCGGACUUGAAGGUGAGUCCUAUGAAAAGUCCUUAUCCUUAUCACACUGUACCUACCUGAUAACUAGCUGCAACUCUGAUCUGCAACUCUGAUGUAUAUUACUUAUGUAGGCACAUGUCAUCUAAGUAAAUGCAAUCGCAUGGGACAAGAAGUCUCAGUAGUUAAUAUUGUUCUUCUCUUUUAGAUGCAGUUUAAAUAUUGUUAGUAGAGAAUAACCUUCCUACGCAAGUUACUAUAGAUCUGGUUGAUCCACUGUUGCUUAUUAUCAGUAACUAUCAAAUAAGAACAGAUGCUGUGACAGUCCAAUUGCUAGUAAUUGUCUAGAUAAUACUGAAUAAUAAUGCGGUGCAAGUGUUACAUUUCAAUUGUGCACUAUAAAGAAAAGUUGAUAAUUAAAAUACAAAAUAUAGGCUGCCCGCCAAAAACACAAACACAUGAUUUACAACCUUAUAUAAGCAACUAAGGAAACCAAUAGAACAACCAAAAUGAAGACUUUACCAUUCUAUUUAAUCCAAUCUCGCAUACAUACGAGAGCCUCAAUUGUUUUGAUAUUCAAUGUGCUCCAUUGCUUAUGAAUCACCGGUCCCUCGCUGCUUAAUGCUGCCUCACCAUGCAUAGCAGAAGCAGGAAUUGCCAGGACGUCACGUGCCACAAUUGAGAGGAUUGGAUAACUUGUAGGAUUACUCAUCCACCAGUUCAGAAUAUCAAAAUCAUCCUUCCUUGGAACAAGUCCAUCUUCAAGGUAGUUCUUAAGUUCUAUCAACGCUAGGGUCCUUGUCUGCUCAUAAAUGUAUUUAUCCCAAUCUUCCAAUGUAUCCCUGUAAAAUCCACCCACUUGAACAACAGAAUUUGAUAUCUCAACACUUGGUUUAUCUAAUGCACUGCAAUAUUCAAGCAACAGCUCCCGGAUUGUAUCACGUACAGCAGACACACACUUUGCUGUGUCAGUGCCAAAAGCUUGUUUCAGACAGAACUCGAUAAGAGUAAGUUUGAAUCUGGGAUCAAGAACAACAGGUACUGACAACCACAAGUAUGAAUUCUGCCAAUACUCGUCGAAUGCUUCCUGCAUCUCCCAAACCAAGCCAGCAAGUUCAGUAUGAUUUGUAGAUGAUUCUUCUUCCAAGGUUGUCCUAAUUAUCCACAGUUCAUUGAAGUACCUAUUUGCUGUGGAACAGACAGGACCCGAAACUACUUCAAUGGCAUGAUAAAAAGCCCUUAAUAUCUUGCAAGCAGACUCAACAGUUUUAGUGUCUUCUGCAGAUAAGAAAUCUUGAGAGGAAAAUGUUUUCUUGAAAUGCAACACAACUUCGAGCCCAAAGUAAAUUUUGUGCCACCACUUUGCAUCUUCUUGGGGGCAUUUCAAUCCCAUAUGCGUAACUACUUCUAUAAGUAGCUCUUGAGUAAGCGCUGUGGACAUAUGUACCUGAAUAAAUCUCUCUAGUAUAUCAGCAACGAGAUGAAGCAGUGGUUGCCCCUUUGAAACAAUGUUGUUAAGCACAUCAUCCACGCAAGCAAUAUUGUAUAACUCACCUCCAAUAGGAAGGCAUUUCCUUUGACCGAGGAAGUCCUUGAGCUUUGAGGUACGCUCAUCGUUUCUAAUUUCGCUGACACAUGUCAAGCUGAAAAGCUUCUGAUCAAGAUUCCAGUCUCUUAUAGCUUCCCAUAUGAUGUUAAAUGGCCCACUCUCAGAAUCUAGUAUAGUAACCUCACUAAAUUGUAUCAUCCUAUCCAAAUUAGUGAGUGGCUGAAACAGACCAAACUUGAUGAUUCUCCUUUGAAGUUUCCAGUCUGAAUCAAUAAAAUGCACUGUCAAACAGAGAUACUUCACUGAGGCCUCAGCUCCAUGAGGAGUCCACAAAUAAGCUGAUAAGGAAACCCGAUGUGAUGCCCUUGAGGAACUUGCUAGCAUACUUUGCAAUCUGAACCAUACCAUUUGUCAAGGCAGGUGAAAGCUCAUCCUGAAGCCUAGACUUGGAACUUGGUUCACUGGACUGGGAAAAAACUCUUUUCUGAAGAUUUACGCUAGUUCUACCAUGGGCUGGACAAGUCUGACUAUGUCAGUUUAGUUGUCUUCUACUUUUAUCCACACUGAGUCGCUUGUGGCAAUGGACGCAUGCAGCUUCCUGGAUCCUCCCCUCAACAUAUAAUGGUAUAAAAUCUUUCCAUACCAUUGACCUGAUUUUUUUGUUGUCACUAUGAGCUACCAAGUUAAUGCCACCAUAUGAAUCUGUAAGAAUGUAGUCCAGAAGAUCUACAUCAUUCACCAGUAAUAUGCAUAAACAUUGAAUAAUUCAUCCAGAAAAUUAUGCAUAUUAUAUGAAGGACAUAAAAUGUGCGAAUAGCACACCCAAAUUUACACCAUACAAACCGACCAACAGCAAAAAUUAGUAUAUCAAUCAUUGUAACUGAACCAUGAGCUGUGUAGAAUCUAAUUUAUGCCCCUCCACUUUGCAAUAAUUGUCCAAAUUUACCAUGUACGCCAACCAACUAUAUACCAAACACUUGAUCUCUUUUGCAACAUUAAUGUAGGGUUAAUAUGUUGAAACAUUGUACUUUCUAUAUUUUUAUUCCACCAUAUGACAGUCAUUGUGCAAAUAACUAAGUGCUGGGCAUAAUACAAACAAAUUAUACAAGGUUCAUAAUUUCCAUACUAAUUGCAAAUGAAGAGGAAAAUACUAGAAAUCCCCACCAAAGGAAACAAAAUCUAAAGAAAUCAUCAAGCAGGAUCAUAACUCUACAACUGUGGCUAUUUAAGUUCAAAUUUAUCCUAUUGCGUAAGAGUUACUCAGUAACUAAAAGCAUACCAUAUCAAAACUCUGCAUCCUGUUGCUGCUGGCUUGUAGCCAAUCUCUCCUUCCCUGGGCAGAUUUCCUGGUGUUGAUACAAAGAGUCACUUUGACAGCUCAAGUGAACAUGGCAGUAUCGGCAUUCCACUCUAUCAACCACUCCGUUUUCGCACACAGGCUUGUAAUCAUCCCACAGCUUAGCUAUCUUAUUUCUGAAUCUGGAUUGACCAAUAGAAGCAGCCCCUGCUUGCGUAUCAUCACUGAUAUGCUCAUCCAACAGGUCCAUAACUGCAGAUAACAAUACGACAUUAUCAGCUUUCUUGACAGGGCGUAGUUAAGAUGCAACCUUGAUUCCAACCAGAAAAGGAAAUGCUUCACACAAUGCAGGAGCGGCAAUAUCUCUACAGACGGCUGGAGUGCUGGACAUAUCAGAAAAACAAUUCGCACAGACAAACAAACAGUAGGUGCAGAUGUGCAUGCAUUGAUCAUUAAGAGAAAGACCCAAAAAAAAACUUUUAGUUCUCCCAAAAUUGCUGGGUCCGAGAAUUGAUCCCACGACCUCUUGCUUGCUAUCGAAAGGUAACACCUGUUCUCCACAACACUAACACGCGCCCUGCCGCUCCAAUUUCUUGCAACUUCUAAGCCCGCAGAGCCGCAAGCAACUAAAACGGUAGCCAAUACCUAGCAUUCCCCGCACCACUACUCCCCAAGCGAAGACUGCAACUUUCUGGCCCAAAACGAACAAGAACACCAGCUACUGCAGUGCCCGCCCAUUCGCAGACACAAACAACACCAGGCAAGCAAUUCGUUCCCCCCAAAAAUUCAGGAAAUAAAAAGCAACAGUAGCGAGAGGAGGAUCGCAUCACUUACUGGUUACUGCUCGCCGGGAACUCAGAAAAGGAACAUCAUCGAAGAAAUGGAAUGCGCAAUGGCACUCGGGAAGUCGGAAUGCUUCCGAGGAAGUGCGCUGGGGAAUUGGAGGAGGGAGGAGACGGGGAGCAGAGUGGAGGGCUGAUCGGGGUGGGUUCGGUGGUGCAGCACCUCGAAUAGUUCCCAAAAAAAUUCUUCCCCAAAACGAGGUAUUGGGAGCUAUGCUAAAAAAAAUUUCCCCAAAAAACAUAUCAGCCCACAGAUGAACGCUAAAAACUAGCUCCUCAAUAUUUCAAAACACAUCAUGUCAUCGUAUUGGGACCAUUAGUUGAGCUGCCCACCUGCCCACCUCCCCCUCGUGAUCUCCAGCGGCGCGGCCAGGAGCUCACGUCGCCGAAGGAUUUUUCACGCCGGCAGGAACCCACAUCACCAGGAGGUCACGAUCAGGUUUGUGCCAUGGAGCUCAUCCUCUACUGAAAUACAUACACCUCGCUCGCUGUUGCUGCUUCCGCUUCGCGCUCGUGCUGCUUCCGCUGCCUGCUGAAUUAUUUCUCUCUCCCUCCUCUUCUUGCGUUUGUGUACUGUUGGUGUGUUUGUGUACUACUGUUGGUGUGCAGCCGAAGCCGUCCGGGCGAGCCAAUAGUUGCGUCACGAUCAGGAAUACAUUAAACCUUGAAAACAUCCAAAAUGUACCCUAAAGAGAACCAUAGACUUGCAGUAGGCAGGUAUUGCUCUGCUCCAUAUUUUGGUUCCGGUAGCCUGCUACUGACUUGCAUGCAGAACCAAUCACUCUUCUAUAUCUCUGUCUCUAACCUCACAGAAAGUGAAGGAGAUGAAGCUUGGAGGGCCAACUGUGUCCACUAAAAAGUUGAGCCUUAAAAUGGACUAGGAACUAAUUCUUGUAGUUUUAUGCUCAAAUGAUGAAAAUUCUUAUUCACAGAAUCAGUUAAAUGUGUAAUAUUUUGAACCAAAGAUGAAGACUUAAACAUUAACUGUAAGUUAUGACUUAUGAGCCAAUUCAGGAAAAAGAGAUGGUAUAGCAUUCAUAAUCAGCACAUCAUGAACAAUAAGGUUGGAGGGAACAUGCCACUGCGUUAAGUGAAGAAUAAUGCACAUGGAUAGCAGGACGUACGUGUCAUUGUUCCAAAUAAUAGUUCUAGGUACAUUGAGAACCUAAAUCUACACAUGCACUACAAUCUAGCAGAAACCAAGGGUAAGUAUAUUUGAUUAUUGCCCAUUCUCCCAUUUGUUAAGACUUAAGAACAUAAAGGUGAGGGUCACUUUUUCAGUAGAAAAUUCAAGAAGAACUUGUAUUGCAGUGAACAACAGUUUUCUGAUUGGCAUAAAAAAGAAAUAGUACUAAUAUUAAUCUCAGAUCAAGUAUAUGAAAACUUUCCUUGUUAUCAAUUAGCAUGACAGAUAAAAUUCCAGUACGAGCCUAAAGGCAGGAUGAUACAUUGAUACUAGAAGCCCCGAAGAUGUACAGCUCGAGGUUCGAAUUCUGAUGAAAUUGAGCUAGUAUGACUAACAAAAUUCCGGUGAAAUUGAGCUAUGAUGACUACAUGAUCCGAAUAUGGCUACAUCAAGAGCUCAACUUGGUCCCUCUUUACCUACCUGCACACGGGACGCCACCGCCACUUCCGCCGCGGCGGCCGGCCAGCGGCAGCGGAAGAGGUGCUCCCAGACGCAGUCGGCGUCGCAGGUGGUGCGCCAGAAGCGCAAGCAGCCGCCGAGCGCGCGCACGUCGGCCUCCUGCGCGCGGUUCGAGCCAGCGGAGUCAACGGGAGAACCACGGAAAGCCACACGUCGGUUCCUACGCGCCGGGAGAGGAGGGGGUUGGAGAUGGCCGCCGCCGCCUCCUGGAACCGGCGUCGGGAGGAGAGGAAUGGGCCGGAAAGGGGCGCGCCGGAGUGGGGAGGGCCGCCGCCGGGAGAGGAGGGGGCUGGAGAUGGCCGCCGCCGCCUGGAACCGGCGCCGGGCCCGGGAGGAGAGGAAUGGGCCGGAGGGGGCGCGCCGGAGUGGGGAGGACCGCCGCCCCUCGCCCCGCGGCGCUGUCGCCCCUCGCCCCACCGCUGCCGCUGCGCGCGCGGGAAGAGGCCGCGCGGGAAGGCUGGUCUGCUCGCGAGCGCGGGAAAGGGCAGCUCAGCGCGCGGGAAUCGCGAUCGGGGGGGGGGGAGCGCUGGUGGAGAAAGGCGAACACGAAAAUAUAUGCGGUGACCGGCUUAAAGAAUUAGGAAUGUUCAGGAACCGUUGAAUUUGUUUUUUUAUUUUUUUCUAAAGAAAAUAUUAGAAUAAGAUUAGCAGUCUUCUGGAGUGAGUUGUUGACCUCGAUGGACCGGCUGGUGGGGUCAGGUCGCGAGGAGCCCGACCCAGUUCAUGAUCUGGGCUGAAACGGGCUGUUUAUGUGCUACUGGUCACUUACUGGGCCUUCGGCGCAUUAGAAAUUGGGCUGUGUUUCCCGACGAACUGGGUCCGAAUAGGCUGUGCGGCCCGUCGUCCCUUUGGGGCAACGGCACAACCAUCUUUUUUUUUAAAGCUCUUUUUGCGAAAUAUUCUCACAAAUAUGCUACUGGGGGAACCAAUUCCAAAAAUGGACCCUUAGCUUGGCGCCAUCCACGCUGACGCCAAGCUUACACAUCUCGACGCCAGGCAUCCUGGCGCCAAGGUCCAUGCGCAGCUGCUGAUGUGGAAUCUGACGUGGCGGGGGCUUGGCGCCAUCCACACUGGCGCCAAGCCUCGGCGCCGUGGAUCUUGGCGCCAAGCUUGGCGCCAUCAUGAAUGGCGCUUGGCGCCGUGGAUCUUGGCGCCAAGCUUGGCGCCAUCAUGAAUGGCGCCGAGCAAUUUUCCCUCCUGGCGUUUCGAACGAGAAACAAGUAUAAUUAUUCCGAGGAGUGUGCAACAAACUACACUCUAGUUCAACUGGUUAGGAUGUGGGCUUCUUAUCCUAAACACAUGAGUUCUCAAACCCUUGUGUUGAAUCUUUUUUCCUACAUUUUUUUUAAUCAACAUGCAUGAUGGAUUUAUAGUUCGUUACCCAUGUCUGAGAUCAACCACUCCAAAAAAAAUGACCGGGUCAGUUCUUCACCUCUUACUAUUUUUGAGACAGGUAAGCCUAAUCCUAGGUACGCGGUUUUGAACUGUUGAUCAGCCUGGACCAUGCAUGCGNNNNNNNNNNNNNNNNNNNNNNNNNNNNNNNNNNNNNNNNNNNNNNNNNNNNNNNNNNNNNNNNNNNNNNNNNNNNNNNNNNNNNNNNNNNNNNNNNNNNUGAAUCAGACAAGUAGGCCACUACUAGGUACGCGCUACGUAACUAGAACAGAGUGUCACAUGACAGCAUAUGUUACUUACAGUGCUACUCACGUGACUGUCUGAGACCUGUGCAUUUAGUCGAUCUAGCUACGAGUCGAUCAACAGCUAAGUGCCUCGCGGAAAUGGUACAGCUCGCAAUGAGUAUUCUCCAUGCAGACUUACGUACAAAAUCAUUUUUAUACCAAUUAGCUAAAAAAAUAAAAUGUAGGAAAAAAGAUUCAAUAGAGGGGUUUGAAACUCAGAUCUUUAGGAUAAGAAGUCUAUGUUCUAACCAGUUGAACUAGAGUGUAGUUUGUUGCACAUUUCUUGGAAUAAUUAUACUUGUUUCUCGUUCGAAAUGCCAGGAGGCAAAAUUGCUCGACGCCAUCCAUGCUGGCGCCAAGAUCCACGACGCCAAGGCUUGGCGCCACCAUGGAUGGUGCCAAGCCCCCGCCUCGGAUUCCGCAUCAGCAGCUACAUAUGGACCUUGGCGCUAGGAUGCCUGGCGCCGAGACGUAUAAGCUUGGCGUCAGCAUGGAUGGCGUCAAGCUAAGGGUCUAUUUUUUGAAUUGGUUCCGCCAGGGGCGUAUUUGUGAGAAUCUUUCGCAAAAAGACUAAAAAAUAAAAAAGUCAGAUGGCACAACAUGGAUUCGGGCCGCACCGCGAUUCGGGCCCAGCUGGAUGUCGUUUAAAUUCAAGUUGAGAUUUUGCAGGGGAACACACCCAGUACGCCACGAUAACAUAGACAGAAUAUCAAAUGACUUCUCAGGUUAAAGCAGCAGCACUUCAUUCGCACUGUACAAAUAAUCUGCACCAGAAGCCUAACAAAAUCCUAGGCAACAAUGCAUAAUACUUGUCAACACCUAGAAGCUCUCCCUUUUAGCUUCUGCAAUACACACUCACGGGGAAAGAUUCGCUCAAAUAUACAAGCACAUACCAGUGGCUGCAAGAUGUUGGCCAGUGCACUCUUUUCUGAUAUCAUCCUAGGUUCCUGAGUUAGAAGCACCAUGGUUAUGAACUGCUUGAAAUCUUCUGUUGAUAAUUAAAAAUAAGGAAGCAUGCUAUCAGCUGUCAGCUUAUUGGUAGUUAGCAGCAGCAUGAUAAAUGGGCUGUGCAAGGAACCACUUGUCCCCCGAGAGCGUCCAGUGUCACGAAUAUUUCUAUUCCGCGCAAUACAAGCAAUUUAACACCAACCCCCCCUCUAUUACUCGUAGUUGCAUUAUUGGCAUGAUGCUAAAUUGACAAUACAAAUUUUUCGAUAAGGAUAAAGUGCAUAAUGUUUCAAAUUUUCGCUCCAUUACUUGUAUUUACAUAUUGUUUCGUAAAGGGAAAUUCAUCGUGACUAAAUUGCAUCAUAGGCACAGUGACUAGCAAGGUAAGGUCUAUGACAAACCCCUGACAUCCUUGAUCUGCAAGCCUGCAAUGCAUACUUUUAGUUGAGAAUGCAUGCUCACCAUAACAGAAAUACAGUAUUCAUACUUUUAGCUGAGAACAGGGGCGGAACCAGGAUGAACACCUGGGGGGGCUAAAUAGUAAAGAUUAAGAGCUAGGACUAGAAAUUAAUUGUGAUUUGAGACUUUAUCUACAGUAUUUUACAGGUAAAACAAGGCUCUCGGGGGGGUGCAGCCCCCUAGCCCUCCCCUUGGAUCCGCCCCUGGUUGAGAACAAGGGUUUUGCUAAGGUACUCCCAAAUGACUGUGGACCGUUGAUCUAAUAACAUAUUACCUCAUAGGAAGUAAUAUUAUAUCUAUUUUUUGAAUCUGAAAAUAGGAAAAGUAUUUUUCUAUUAGAUCUAACUUCCACGAUUGUACUAUAUCAUAUCUAAGUUUCUUUUUUGCCUCCCACGUGAACAUGGAUGGCGGUUCUGGUUCAAAAAACAAGAGAGAGAAGAACAUGACACCUUUAUGUGACAUGGAUCCGUUCGAAAAAAAUGUGACAUAAGUCAAGUAAAUGUGUUGCACGGAGAAAUGUGUCAUGGCCAUCUCUUUUUUUCCCCAUGCGGAUGCAGAUGUUUCGUUUCAAAGAAGAAAUGCAGAUGCAGAUGUUUCGUUUCAAAGAAGAAAUGCAGAUGCAGAUGUUAAAUUGCAUGUCAUAUGGAGAUGUUCAAGUAAACAUGAAGAUGUUCAAGUAUUUUUUUUUCUCCAUCCAGAUGCGGCCGUGUGUUCUGUUAAAAUGUUAUGACUUCGGUUGCAACUAAAAGAAAAGAAAUUGCAUGUUCACAUGCAGAUGUUGGACCUGUUCCUCCGAUCCUAAAUUGAAGGAAGCCGUGAUAAUGGGGAGCCGGUUGUUUCUUUUUUUUGUUGCUUUUUUAAUAUUUAAGGGCCUCAUUAGGUAAUCGGUGCACUGUAGCAUUGCCCUGAGAACAAACCUUUUUUCUGUAAGCUACUGCAGAUCCUACUGAUUUACUGGUGUUUAUCUUUCAGUAAUUAUUCUAGUGAUGCAGUUUCAAUAUUUUUAGUUGAGAGCAAACCCCUUGUUUGACCUAAGGCAGAUCCUAUUGAUUUACUGAUGUUUUUCCAGUAACCAUCUAGUAAGAAAAAAUGGAUGCUGUGAUGGUCCUAUUGCUACUAAUUGUCUAGCUAAUAAAAUAUGAUAAUGUGAAUGCUCCAACUCCAACAGUGCAAAAUUUUAUUGAGAACUGACAUGCCAAAUAUAAACAAAAAUUCUCUGAAGGACCACAAUAUUCAUGGAACAGCUCCCUUAUUGCAUCACGCACGGCAGAUACAUACUUCUCUGCAUCAGUACCAAAAGCUCGCUUUAGACGGAACUCAACAAAAGUAAUUUUGAAUCUCGGAUCAAGAACAACAGGUAUUGACAGCCACAAGUAUGAACUUUGCCAAUACUCAUUGAACGCUUCUUGCAUCACCCAAACCAUGUUAGCAAGUUCAGUGUGAUCAGAGGAUGCUUCUUCUUGCAAAGUUGUUCUAACUUUCCAUAGUUCAUUGAAGUAUAUAUUUGCUGUGGGGCAAACAGGACCAGAAAUUACUUCAACAGCACGAUAAAAACCCCUCAGUAUCCUGCAAACAGAUUCCACAGUUUUACUAUCUUCUGCAGAUAACAAUUCUUCUGAGGGGAAUGCCUUCUUGAAAUGCAGAAAAACUUCAAGCCUGAAGUAAAUUUUAUGCCACCAUUUCGCAUCCUCCUGUGGGCACUUCAAUCCAAUAUGUGUAACAACUUCUAAAAGUUGCUGCCGAGUCAGCGAUGAGGACAUUUGUACCUGAAUAAAUUUCUCUAGUAUGUCACCGACAUGGUGAAGCACUGGUUGCCCUUUUGAAACAAUGCUGUUAAGCACAUCAUCCACACAAGCAACAUUGUACAGUUCACCUCUAAUAGGAAGGCAUUUUCUUUGGAUGAGCAAGUCCAUCAGCUUUGAGGUACCCUCAUCCCUUCUAAUUGCAUUGACAGAUGUCAAGCUGAAAUGCUUCUGAUCAAGAUUCCAAUCUCUUAAAGCUUCCUGUAUGACAUUAAAUGGACCACUAUCAGAAUCCAGUACGCAGGCCUCCUUAAAAUGUAUCAUCCUUUCUAAACUAGUAGGUGAGGACCAAAACACACCAAAUUUGAUGAUUUUCCUUAAGUUUACAUUCAGAAUCAAUAAAAUGCACUGCCAGACAGAGAUACUUCACUGAGGCCUCAGCUCCAUGAGGAGCCCACACACUUGCUGAUAAGGAAACCCGAUGGGAUAAAAGAGCAAUCUUUUUCCUUUAGAUCAGUCUUUUCUUUCUGAAAUAAAAGAGUUGAAUACUCUUCUAUAUCAAUGCUCGAAGCCAUGUUAAAUGCAGGGUUCAGGCUCUUUGCAAACCUUUUCAUUUCUUCAUGUUCCACAAUUGACAAGGGAUAGCCAUGUUCCACAAUUGACAAGAGAUAGCCUGAUCAUCAUGUUGCUCGAUGUCGGCGCAGGCAUCAACUUCGGCGACUGCGACGGAUUAUCUGGCCCAACAUGAUCGCCGCCGGCGUCAGGACGGCCGACGACCCAGCAGCACCCAUCGGCCCCGCGCUCGCAGGGUUCGCCGGUGCACGUGCGUUCAUGCGGCGCAACCUCGCCGUCGUGGGGCUCGUCAUGGUAUCCUCUGCUUUCACAGCGGUUGACAGGCCCGGCGUUCUCCUUCAUGAUAUUUGUCCUGCUGGUGUUCGGAGUCUCUGUGAUCAACAUCGGAGUCCAUGGUGCCUUAUGAAAGCAAUUUCAAGCUAUCCUAAAAUAAGUAGACAUUUGUAUAAACUAGAAUAACCAUAUAACUGGUGCGUAUUUCAAACAGCUCAUCCUUUGGAUUUAUUCAAAUCAUCAGCCUAGCGAAAAAAAAGUCUAGGCCAUCAAACAGACGAGCCUGCUUACAUUCUCGGACCAGUAGCUUUUGAAGAAGCUCUGAGUAAGAAACUGAGCAAUAACAACGACGACAGUGGAACAGAAUUUCCAGAGCCCGCCUAUCCUAGACUUAGAGAAAACCGGCCAUUGCCAUGGAGACGCCGGCGAACAUGACGACGGCCAGUCCGAAAGCCACCACCGGGGUGACGGCGCCAACGGCGACGGCAUGGACAGCUGAGGAUGCGGCCACGAUCCCCAGCAUAGAUGAGAGGCUGCCACGACCGCGACGGUGCUCGUUUCCCCGCCCGUCGUCUUCACCGGACGCCUUCUUGGCUCCCGGUGAAGCCAGCAAUCAGACUUCACCGCCUUGGCACCUCUUGAGUCGUCUGGUGAACCAGUUGAAAGAUGAUAGAUGGUAGGAUAUCCAAGAGAGUUCAACUGUGCUGACAACACUACUAUCCGAAGUUCCCAACAGCAUGGAAUCAACAGUACCAUCCGCAAAUGUGCUGACAACAGUACUGACAACUAUCCAAGAGAGUCAUGCCGGUGGAACAACGAGGAACCAAAAUCAGUUAAGAGUCCUGCCGCACGGCAGCCACCCGGUGGAAGCUGUUCAGUUCUCUCAUGCUACAUGACAAAUUAUUUGUCCAAAACGUCAUCUUAUUCUGAACAGAGAUAGCAUGUAGCAGAUUCUUAGUUGAUUAGCAUUUCCUAGGACAAGAAUAAUUUUAGGAAACUUGCAAACAGAUACUCAAAACAUCACGCUUUCAUCAAACUAUGCACGUGAUUGCAUUUUAUCCAAUGCUGACACAUAGUUUUUUUUUUUGAAGAAACAGGAGGGGAGGGUCCCUACUGGUUAUACGAGAGCGAAGCAAAAGGGAAAACAGAAAAGAAAACAUACUACAAGGUGUGCAGCCUGUCAUUAUUUGUCUUACAUCAUCUCUCAGAAGAGACAGUAUGGCAUUACAUGGCCAGAGGAAAGAAGGACACUUGAACUAUAGUAGCGCACAUUCAUUAUUUGAGCCCACACGGCAUGAGAAUGACAGCAAGCAGGAGGCAGCAGCAGCAACAGAUACUCAAUGCAUCUGGGAGAGGCCAAGAAUCCCAACGCUGAUCAGGGAGAGGCCGAGGAGGAGCAGAGCAAACAUGCCGAAGCAGAGCACCUGGCCUGCUUCGCCGGAGACCGCCGUGACGGCGCAGGAAGCCAUCACGAGCCCCACGACGGCGAGGUUGCGACCAAGGAACUCUGCGAGAGCACGCGCCUCGGCCAACACCGCCGGGACGACGGGCGCCAGGAUGCCGACGGCGACGAUGUUGGCGCCGGCGAGAACCCCCGCGAAGCAGAGCAGCAAGCCGAAUCCGCCGGCGCCGGAGUUGAAUCCGGCGCUGACGGAGAACAGCAAGAUGGCGAGGCCGGCGAACAUCGCCGUGGUGCCCGGAGUGGUCAUCGUCGGCCGCGUGGCACCGCAGUCCCCUGCUUAAUUGGAGAGGGCCGUCGAGCGAGCAGGCGAGGCACCGCCGCACCGGGGAGGGAAGCGUUGCCGAAGAGGCAAAGAAUGCAGCGGGAGGAGGAGGAGGAUGAGCUGGGCGGUGCGCAGCGGACGGGGAGAGCCGGAGGAGCGAGAUGGUUGGGGUAGGGGAGGCCGGGGAGGGCAUUUAUACCGGGGAAGGGGAGAGGUAGCCGGGCUGGGACGAGGCCUAAAGGUGGCAACGGACAUUAGUUUUAUACCGAGAGGUGGCCGGGCCGCCGGCCCGCCGGGUGCAAAGUCUGAUAAAUGAUGCGUGGGGUCCGCCGUGGUGUCGACAACCCUCACCUGCCGCCUGGGCGUAGGAAGUGUUAAGGAAGUAAGCAAUUACUAGCCAUACACUAUUAAGAUAUAACAUAUUUUUCAAAGAGUAUAAAUAAUUAUAUAAUUUUCUAGAUUUCAAGUGUUCAACAAAUAGGCUCAAACAAUACAUAGAAUAUUGAAGGUAGAAAAGUACUAAAUUAAGAGUCUUUCAUGAAAAAAAAAGAACUAUACAUGUCUUCAUGAAUUAACACCACUUCCACUUGUUCCGACGACCUCAAUUCCACAUAAAAAUUUUCAACAUCUCAGCCCUAUAACAUUAUGUAUUGAAAUAGACUAACACAACACAAGUAAACAACACAACAACACGCACCAUGUUAAUACUAAUUACUACCGGGAUAUUUGAUUCUUAUUUAUAGUGACGAUUAUAUGUCUCUGAAGGAUAUUUGAGAUUUUUUUGUUUAUAUAAGUUUUUUUAAUACUGCCAUGUUGGGGUUGAUUACUGUUCCAAUUUGAUACAAAUUUAUUUUCUGGGAACUUGUCGGAAUAUGUUCCUAAUUUAUUGAUAGGCUUUUGGUUUAGACGGACAAAUUGCAGCUCUCGUUUCUUAAACCUUGAAAGCGCUUUUGAAUGCGGCUGGAGAUUCCCACCGUCGUGUCGUGUCGUGUCGGCAACCGAUGAGAUUGGAUUCAUAUCAUAUUGUUGCGGCCGCACUGCUUCGGAGGAAGUUGAAGAAUUGGAGAAGAAGGUAACGGACACUGGCCGGGCCGCCGUGGUGUCCAGUGGAUGUUUGGGAGGAGAGGGGUAGAGGACUAUGUAUAUCAUAUUGUUAUUGAUGCCACACUUCGUGGGAAACUCUGGGCAUCCCACAUGCGUUCUCUGAAACUCUGAAUAAAAUAUGAUUAAACCAUCCGGCGGCGCGCGCUGCCGUCGUGUCGUCGCCUGCAGCUCACUGGCGUCAAGGACAGCGCGUGGGCCCAGCUCACUGUUGACGCGCGAUGUUGCAGCUCGAGUGAACAUCGCAGUAUCGGCAUUCCACUCAGUUCAGGUCGAUGGACUGGCUGGUGGGGUCAGGUCGCGAGGACCCCGACCCAGUUCAUGAUCUGGGCUGAAACGGGCUGUUUACGUGCUACCGGCCACUUACUGGGCCUUCGGCGCAUUAGAAAUUGGGUUGUGUUUCCCCACGAACUGGGUCCGAAUAGCGGCACAACAUGGAUUCGGGCCCAGCUGGAUGUCGCUUUCCUCUCGCCUGGAAACCUCGAAUGGACACAUUUCCUAGCUGGCGCCAUUCACAAAAUGCAAUAUGAGUGCCUUAAAAUUCAAGUUGAGAUUUUGCAGUACGCCACGAUAACAUAGACAGAAUAUCAAAUGACUUCUCAGGUUAAAGCAGCAGCACAUCAUUCGCACUGUACAAAUAAUCUGCACCAGAAGCCUAACAAAAUCCUAGGCAACAAUGCAUAAUACAUGUCAACACCUAGAAGCUCUCCUUUUUAGCUUCUGCAAUACACACUCCCGGGGAAAGAUUCGCUCAAAUAUACAAGCACAUACCAGUGGCUGCAAGAUGUUGGCCAGUGCACUCUUUUCUGAUAUCAUCCUAGGUUCCUGAGUUAGAAGCACCAUGGUUAUGAACUGCUUGUAAUCUUCUGUUGAUAAUUAAAAAAAAAGGAAGCAUGCUAUCAGCUGUCAGCUUAUUGGUAGUUAGCAGCAGCAUGAUAAAUGGGCUGUGCAAGGAACCACUUGCCCCCAGAGAGCGUCCAGUGUCACGAAUAUUUCUAUUCCACGCAAUACAAGCAAUUUAAUCCCCCCCCCCCCUCUAUUACUCGUAUUUGCAUGAUGCUAAAUUGACAAUACUAAAGUGCAUACUGUUUCAAAUUUUCCCUCCAUUACUUGUAUUUACAUAUUGUUUCGUAAAGGGAAAUUCAUCAUGACUAAAUUGCAUCAUAGGCACAGUGACUAGCAAGGUAAGGUCUAUGACAAACCCCUGACAUCCUUGAUCUGCAAGCCUGCAAUGCAUAUUACUCUAUCUUUUCCAAGUUCAGAGAAUGCAUGCUCACCAUAACAGAAACACAAUAUUCAUACUUUUAGUUGAGAACAAGGGUUUUGCUAAGGUACUCCCAAAUGACUGUGGACCGUUGAUCUAAUAACAUAUUACCUCAUAGGAAGUAAUAUUAUAUCUAUUUUUUAAAUCUGAAAAUAGGAAAAGUAUUUUUCUAUUAGAUCUAACUUCCACACAUGAUUGUACUAUAUCAUAUCUAAGUUUCUUUUUUGCCUCCCACGUGAACAUGGAUGGCGGUUCUGGUUCAAAAAACGAGAGACGAACAUGACACCUUUAUGUGACAUGGAUCCGUUCGAAAAAAAUGUGACAUAAGUCAAGUAAAUGUGUUGCAUGGAGAAAUGUGUCAUGGCCAUCUCUUUUUUUCCCCAUGCGGGUGCAGAUGUUUCGUUUCAAAGAAGAAAUGCAGAUGCAGAUGUUUCGUUUCAAAGAAGAAAUGCAGAUGCAAAUGUUAAAUUGCAUGUCAUGAGGAGAUGUUCAAGUAAACAUGAAGAUGUUCAAGUAUUUUUUUUUUCUCCAUCCAGAUGCGGACUGUUAAAAUGUUAUGAUGUCGGUUGCAACUAAAAGAAAAGAAAUUGCAUGUUCACAUGCAGAUGUUGGACCUGUUCCUCCGAUCCUAAAUUGAAGGAAGCCGUGAUAAUGGGGAGCCGGUUGUUUCUUUUUUUUUGUUGCCUUUUUUAAUAUUAAGGGCCUCAUUAAUUUGAACUCUUACCUCCUAGGAGGUAAUCGGUGUACUGUAGCAUUGCCCUGAGAACAAACCUUUUUUCUGUAAGCUACUGCAGAUCCUACUGAUUUACUGGUGUUUAUCUUUUCAGUAAUUAUUCUAGUGAUGCAGUUUCAAUAUUGUUAGUUGAGAGCAAACCCCUUGUUUGACCUAAGGCAGAUCCUAUUGAUUUACUGAUGUUUUUCCAGUAACCAUCUAGCAAGAAAAAAUGGAUGGUGUGAUGGUCCUAUUGCUACUAAUUGUCUAGCUAAUAAAAUAUGAUAAUGUGAAUGCUCCAACUCCAACAGUGCAAAAUUUUAUUGAGAACUGACAUGUCAAAUAUAAACAAAAAUUCCAAUAAAAAGGAGUAUCUUUAUAAAAAUUAAAUAAGCAAAGAAGGAAACCAACGGAACGACCAAAGUGAAAAUAUUACCUUUCUAUUUAAUCCAAUCUCGAGUACAUACAAGAGCCUCAAUUGUUUUGAUAUUUAAUGUGCUCCAUUGCUUAUGAAUCAUAUUUCCCUCACUGCUCAAUGCAGCUUCACAAUUAACAGCAGAAGCUGGCAUUGCCAGGACAUCACGUGCCAUAAUUGACAGAGUUGGAUACUUUGUAGAAUUAUUCAUCCACCAGUUCAGAAUAUCGAAAUCAUCCUUUCUCGGGACAAGACCAUCUUCAAGGUAGUUGUCAAGUUCUGUCAUUAGUUGGCUCCUUGUCUGUGCAUUAAGAUGCUCAUCCCAAUCUUCCAAUGAAUCACUAUCAAAUCCAUCAAACUCAACAAUACGAGCUUCACGAGUUGAUGUGUCAAGCCCUGACUUCUCUGAAGGACCACAAUAUUCAUGGAACAGCUCCCUUAUUGCAUCACGCACGGCAGAUACAUACUUCUCCGCAUCAGUACCAAAAGCUCGCUUUAGACGGAACUCAAUAAAAGUAAUUUUGAAUCUCGGAUCAAGAACAACAGGUAUUGACAGCCACACGUAUGAACUUUGCCAAUACUCAUUGAACGCUUCUUGCAUCACCCAAACCAUGUUAGCAAGUUCAGUGUGAUCAGAGGAUGCUUCUUCUUGCAAAGUUGUUCUAACUUUCCAUAGUUCAUUGAAGUAUAUAUUUGCUGUGGGGCAAACAGGACCAGAAAUUACUUCAACAGCACGAUAAAAAGCCCUCAGUAUCCUGCAAACAGAUUCCACAGUUUUAGUAUCUUCUGCAGAUAACAAUUCUUCCGAGGGGAAUGCCUUCUUGAAAUGCAGAAAAACUUCAAGCCUGAAGUAAAUUUUAUGCCACCAUUUUGCAUCCUCCUGUGGGCACUUCAAUCCAAUAUGUGUAACAACUUCUAAAAGUUGCUGCCGAGUCAGCGAUGAGGACAUUUGUACCUGAAUAAAUUUCUCUAGUAUGUCACCAACAUGGUGAAGCACUGGUUGCCCUUUUGAAACAAUGCUGUUAAGCACAUCAUCCACACAAGCAACAUUGUACAGUUCACCUCUAAUAGGAAGGCAUUUUCUUUGGAUGAGCAAGUCCAUCAGCUUUGAGGUACCCUCAUCGCUUCUAAUUGCAUUGACAGAUGUCAAGCUGAAAUGCUUCUGAUCAAGAUUCCAAUCUCUUAAAGCUUCCUGUAUGACAUUAAAUGGUCCACUAUCAGAAUCCAGUACGCAGGCCUCCUUAAAAUGUAUCAUCCUUUCU